UUUUUUGUUUUUAGUUGUAACGACGCCGCUCGGUUGGGCCGUCAAGUAACACUUUUCUUCCUCGAGUGUUGCACUCGGGGAAGAGGGCCUUUGCCGAGUGCCGCUCUUUCCCGAGUGCCAUUCCCCGAGUGCAAUUCUUCCCCGAGUGCAAUACUCGGGAAAGAUUGGCUUCCCCGAGUGUCCGGUUUUUUGCACUCGGGGAAGCCUGCGACACUCAAGGAAAUUUUGUCUCUCCCGUAAUGGUGGAGGCCUAGCAUCUAUUGUCAAAGUAAAAAAAGAUAAUGAUAAAUAUUAAUAUAUUACAAAGACAAUGUAUAAACGAUUACCUAAACAAAAUAAUAGGUACUAGGUAUGGAUUUUAUAUCAGGCAAUGAUCCCGAUCUAGGUCUAGCCGAAUGGGAUUGUGACUAGAUCUCGACUCUCAAGCGACAAACAAUGGCAAGAGUAAGGAAUAAGUUCAAGCGACGAAGCCACAAACUUACAAAGGGUUACAAACUUAUAUGAAAAAAAUUUGCUGGCCACAAACUUUUCUAUGUCAAAACCGUGGACUCAACGUGCGGUGCUCUUCUCCCGAAUGAAGUAGCAGGACAUAUUUAUUAAGCAUUUACUAAUUAAAACAAGUCUAAUAUUAUUAUAUAUACUUAAGAUACUUAGUAAAUUUUAGGAGCCUAAUUUCGUCGCAAAGCUCGUACGAGCCCGAGGACGCCCUGCUCACCCUUGCAAAAGAUGAUGCCAAUGCCAAUUAUCAUCAGGUGUAGGUGUAUUUAUGAUGGCAUAUGAAUCCAUGUGGCUCUUCGUUUGGUGUCCAACUCGCAUUUGUGAUCCAACACAAAGGCAAUAAUCUCUUGCAAUUACGUUUGGGGAACAGAAGGGAAUGGCUUGCAUUGGAUCAACAUAACAGGUGGUGACGUGGUUGGCUCUUAGCAGUCUGAGAACAAGAAUAUGGCCCAAUAGCUCAUGUUCCUGUUAUUAUGUUCCACGUUCCAAAAUAUCUAUAUGAAUCAAGAAAGCCUGGAAAAAAUGCUAGAGGAGGUGGAGAUAUCAUAUUUAGAUACAGUAGAUAUAUGAAUUGAUUUUCUGAGGAAGGUCAAACUCUGAAAAUUGGUUGAUUUUUAGAGGGAGGCCCAUCUCUAAUCUUUAUAUGUUUUUUUAGGCCCGUCUCUAAUCUUCAUAUGUUUUAGAGACAAGCGUUUUAGAAGACCACACCGUUAGGCAAUUGGUUUUUACCGCCUCUGUUAAUAAAACCAGUUGCCUUCUCAAAUCAGUUGUCUAAUUAAGCUUGUUCAACUGGGUGAUGCUGGAACGAAGUUUUUUCAUGCUAAUGCCACUAUAAGAAAUAGGAGGAAACUUAUCAGUCACCUAACCUCAGCUCAAGGAGUUACUGCUGCUGACCACUCUGAGAAAGAGCAGCUGCUCUGGCAUGAAUACAAGGAAAGGUUGGGAAUUUCAGAGUUCACUGGCUUUACUAUAAACCCAAGAGAUCUGUUGGAAGCAAGCUCUGAUCUGGAGAGUUUAGAAUCUCCUUUCACCAGGGAUGAAAUUGAGGCCCUGAUCAAAGCUCUACCCAAUAAUAAAUCCCCUGGUCCUGAUGGGUUCAACAAUGAGUUCUUCAAAGCCUCCUGGAACACAAUCAAGGAAGAUGUUUUUCACUUAUGUGACCAGUUCUAUUCUAAUAAUUGUUGUCUGCAAAGCAUUAAUGCCUCCUAUAUCACUCUGGUACCAAAGGUGGAGGAUGCCAAAUUUGUCAAUGAUUUCAGGCCUAUCUCGUUGCUCAACACCUCCAUCAAAGUUCUGACAAAACUGAUGGCUAACAGGCUUCAAUUAAAAAUUAUCUCUCUGAUUCACAGGAACCAGUAUGGGUUCAUAAGAUCAAGAACUAUACAGGACUGCCUAGCCUGGGCCUUUGAAUACAUUCACAUAUGUCAUAAGUCAAAAAAAGAGAUAGUCAUCCUAAAGCUGGAUUUUGAACAAGCUUUUGACAAAAUUGAGCACCAAGCUAUAACAACUAUCAUGGCUGCUCUGGGUUUUGGAGAAAGAUGGCUUUCAUGGGUUACAGACAUCCUUAAUACAGGCACCUCAUUUGUGCUCUUGAAUGGGGUACCUGGAAAGAGAUUCAAAUGCAAAAGGGGUGUGAGGCAAGGAGACCCCCUAUCUCCGUUACUCUUUGUCUUGGCAGCUGAUUUUCAGCAAUCUUUGAUCAACAAGGGCAAAGACAUGGGAUUAAUCAAUUUGCCUAUCCCCUUGCAUUGCAAACUGACAAAGACUUUCCAAUAAUCCAGUAUGCCGAUGACACAUUAAUCAUCAUGGAAGGGGAUCCUAGACAGUUAUUCCUCAAGACUAUUCUGCAGAACUUCUCUGAAUCAACAGGAUUAAAAGUUAACUAUAGCAAAUCCAUGAUGCUGCCUAUUAAUGUAAGUGGGGAAAAACUUGACAUGCUUUCAAGAACCUUUGGUUGCUCUAAAGGGGCCCUGCCUUUCAUCUAUCUUGGUCUACCUGUGGGAACGACUAAGCCAAAAAUUGUGGACUUCUUACCCCUCAUAAACAAAUGUGAAAGGAGGCUGGGAGGGGUCUCUUCUACGCUAAACUUGGCUGGCAGGCUUCAAAUCACGAAUGCAGUGUUCUCAGCACUUCCAACAUUCUACCUGUGCACCCUGGAGCUACCCAAAGCUAUCGUCAAACAGAUCGACAAAUUUCGGAAAAAUUGUCUCUGGAGAAACAAUGACAUAAAUGGACAAAGUAAGCCUAAGGCGGCAUGGGAAUUGGUCUGCAGGACAAAAAUUGAGGGAGGACUAGGCAUUAUAAAUUUGGAGCUGCAGAAUCAAGCUUUGUUGAUGAAAAAUUUAGAUGAAUUCUACAAUAGGAAAGAAAUUCCUUGGGUAAACUUGGUAUGGGAAAGGCAUUACAAGAAUGACAAGUUGCCAGGUGCUGUGAAGAAGGGCUCCUUUUGGUGGAGAGAUGUGCUAAAAUUACUUCCACAAUUUAAACAAAUGGCGUCGAUCAAAAUGAAUAGUGGAAUCACGUGUCACUUUUGGAAGGACUCUUGGGAUUCACAGCUCUUAGAAAUUCAGUUCCCAUAGGCGUUCUCCUUUGCAAGAAACAAGAAUAUUACGGCACACAAAGCUCUCAGUUUCAAUAAUAUCUCAGUAAUGUUUAACCUCCCGGUAUCACAAGUAGCCUAUGAACAGAUGGCGAUCAUACAACAGAAAAUGGAAGUCUUGCAGCUGGAUGGAAGUAUUCAAGAUGUCUGGACAUAUCAAGGAGGAUCCACCAGUUUUAAAUCUGAAAAUACGUACAGAAGGCUCCUAGGGCAUCAACAAACUGAGCCGGCUUUAACCUGGAUAUGGAAAUCGGCUUGUCAGCCUAAACACAAGGUCUUUGCUUGGCUCUUGUUAAAAGACAGGCUCAGUACGCGUAACAUCCUCAGGAGAAAGCAAAUGAAUAUUGCCUCCUUUAACUGCGAGUUCUGCUUACAGGCAACAGAAGAAACUGUUGAUCACUUGUUUUGGCACUGCACCUUCGCUCAGCAAUGUUGGGGGUUCAUUGGUAUUCAUAGGUGAAGGAACGGUUAGAAAUAUACAAGCCAUCAAAGACCAGAUGCAUAGCCAAUUCUUCGUGAUUGCUACAAUUCUUCUCUGUUGGACGAUCUGGAAAGCCAGGAAUGAGAUGAUCUUCAACAAUAAUCAGUUGUCAAUUCAUGAUUGCAAGGAACUUUUCUUCAAGGAGCUACAGCUUGUAUCCUUCAGGUCAAGCAAAGACUCUCAGCGCCCUAUGGUAUAUGGAUUCAAAAUCUGUAAUUGAUGCCAGAUGUUUUCUUAUUUUCUUCUUUUCUUUCUGUCUCCUAAUCCUGUUGCCCUGCUUGUAACUCUGUAACUCUGUAAUUUUUUUCUUGUCAUUCUUAAUAAAAUUCUGCAGGGGCCCAGAGUUCAGUCAAAAAAAAAACUUGCGUGGAGUGGAGAAAGCGAGUUUGUCCGGAUCAGAGAAAUUUGUUCUGCACUCAUUUGAUUUUUUUUUUGUUUACAAAAGUACAGUACAAAUACUCCUCCGUUUGAAGCGAAAAAGCGACGGAAUUCAGGGUGGGUACGUAACAGCAACAGCCUGAGCCAGCAUGGUGAGCUCUGCUCAGGUGUUGGGCCCCCAGAAGGAGAUGAACAUCAACGCCCGGACAGGCUCCUCCGCCGCCGCCACCGUUCCCCUCACCUCCUCCGCCCGCCGCGACGAGUCCGCCGGCGGCGACGGCGAGGACGCGGUGGCCUUGGCCCCCCGCCACCGCCAGCCCACGCGACUCAUCACUUGCCUCAGGCUCAUGGUUGGCUUGGCUACACUACACGCACACAGCUAGCUACUGCUGCUGCUGCUGGUGGCUAGAGAUCGAUCGGCGAAGGAGAGGGAGAGCAAGGAGGAGGAUGGAGGCGUUCGAGACGACGAGAAGCGAGGCUUUUAUAUAUAUAUAUAUAUACAGUGCGAGCGAGAAGGGUAGGCAGCAAGAGAAGGACAGCGCGCGCGGCCGGCCCCCGCCGGCUGUUUUGAUAUGAUAUUCCGGUGUGCCAGCCAGGGCAGCUCACGGUUUCGGCCGCCGCCCUCCGUUUCUCGCGGGAAAACUGCACGGCAUCGGUCGUCCAAUCCAUGCUGAAACGGCGGGCGGGCGGCCUGCGGUUUUGCCGGUAGAGUGGGAGACUGGGAGUAGCAACUGAGUGGGCUGGACGGCCUCGCGCUGCGCAGCUAUAUAUAUUUUGUUUUGGUGCAUCACCAGAGCAAAUCCAUAGUUUCUAGCCUGGGUCUUGGGCCUUGUUUCGUUCCCAACAAAUUUUACAAAACUUUUUUUAAUUUCUCGUCACAUCAAAUCUUACGGCAUAUACAUGGAGCAUUAAAUAUAGAUUAAGAAAAUCACUAAUCACACAGUUUAUCUGUAAUUUGCAAGACGAAUCUUUUGAGCCUAGUUAGUCCAUGAUUGGACAAUAUUUAUAAAAUAAAAACGAAAGUACUACGUUACCAGUUUUGCAAAAUAGACACGUAGCAUUUUUGUUUGUAUUUGAUAAAUAUUGUCCAAUCAAAGCUUAAAAGAUUCGUCUCACGAAUCACAGGUAAACCGCGCAAUUAGUUAUUUUUUAUCUAUAUUUAAUGCUCUAUACAUGUGCUGCAAGAUUUGAUGUGACGAGACUUAUGCAAAAUUUUUGGAAAGUGAACAAGGCCCUGGUACACGUAUACACAUAUACCAAUAAUAAUGUUCAUAGACAAAAGGAAAAAAUAUACCAAUAAUAAUGUUCAUAGACAAAAUGAAAAAAGAAACAAUCACUGUAUUUGGUGUGUCCAUCAAAAUACAACUUCACAUCAUCAACUCUAACAAAGAGCGAGCAAACAAUAUUAUGGGCUUGUUCGUCAUAGCUCAACUUCACUAGUGAAGUUGUUUUUUAAGAAAAUAGCUUCAUGAACAACUUUAUUGGUGAAGCUAAGCUAUUUUGAAAAAAGUAUUUGAUAAAAUAGUUUCACUAAAUAUUUUAUGCAUAGAUAAAAGAGAGAAAUGAGGGAGAGAGCUACAAUAAGCUACUUUUUUCAGCUUCAUCCUAACUCAUGUCUUUGUGAGAGGAGAAAGAAAACAACUUCAUCCAUGAAGCUAUUUUAGAAAUAAGUGUUUAACAAAAAACAGCUCACGACAGCUCAUGAAGCUGUUGUGAGCUGUACCAAACAGGCCCUAUAUUCUUCAAUUCAACUGGUAAAAAAAAAAGAGAAGCAAAAAGUAGCAGUUCGCUUGUUUCUGCCAUUACACUGAAUCUAUACAUUGGUUACAUAUAGCAAUUCCGAACUUGGUUACCUGGUUUUGGUUACCUAGGAUUCACUUAUACAAGGCUGAAGCAAUCAUGUCACAAAUAUAUCAAAUGUAAAGAAACAAGAUGGGUUACAGACCAUAAUUUGUGUAUAUGAUGAUGAUCAGAAUGCACACGACGAUAUAAGCAAUAGUCAAGCUCAACUGAGGUGAGCAAUGUCAAUCUCGUCAGGGAGCUUGAACGUAUCCGCGGCCCCAAACUUCCUCCUGCCGUCCUCCCACUCGUCUUCGUCCUCCUCGGCCGCCAUAUCCUUGUCAUCGCCAUGGCUGCUGUCGUGGGCCAGCGACGGGGAUGAUGGAUCGUUGACGCUCUUGGACCUGCAGGGCUCGUUUGCCAGCAUGGUGACCUGCCGGAGGUGAGAGAUCUCCACGACGACCGUGUCAUCGUCCUUCGGAAGGGGCUGCUUCCAUGGCUCUCCGUCGACCCUCAUGAACGUGUGCUCUGCCGCGCCUUUGUGGAACUCAAACCGGAUCCUAUGGGCCUGUGAAACAGGAUGGCGAAAUCAGAUUGAUUUUGAUGGGGAGACUGGCCCGUUUCAGUGUGCCACGAAACCAGAAUGGCAUCUCAACCCUGAGUUCACGUUUCUCAGAUGUAGGGUUUCCAUUUUUUUUUAUCGAAAACAAUGUAGGAUUUCCAUCAGGACAUUCAGGAGGAAUACGUAGCAGAAGCAAUUCAUACCUGUGCAAUGCGAGUGCCGUGUCCAUUUGGGGCCAGCAGGACCAGCCCGUGCCAGGCGUCACGGAAGCCAACAACCUCAAUAAGUCCAUCAUCGACAAAAGGUGGAGUGAACUCCCUCUGCACAUAUAAUAGAUUUGUCAACUAAAUGACAUGGCUUGCAAAUAACAUGUUCUGUUCACAGAAACGAAGACAUGAAAACUCACAUCUGCUGCUCUCCUCGUGCCAGGUGUGCCCCAAGGAUUCAAACCUCCAGAAAAGCUAGGCAGAUUCAGACAGACGAUGGACCGAAUGCUGCAAGAGGCGCAAAUGCAGAGAUUACAAACCCAUCUGCUACCCAAAAGAAAUACGGAUACCCAGGCAGUAUGAUGAAAUAAUGAACAAAUGGAACAGAACAAGGAUUUCCCAAGUCAAAACAAGAAGCUUUGGUCUGUCGUACCAUAUUGUAGGAUUACAUAAUGCAUAGGAGAAAAACAAAUCGCCUAAGUUUACCUGUGAUGAACAUGAAGUUCCUCCCAGAGGCCACCAGCUCUUUUCAUGACCUUAACUUUUGCAAGUUGAGCAAGGUUCCUGGAAACAGAGCAAUCUAGCUUAUCGUUUAUCCAAAAAAGGAGAAGAGGGGAAACCUGGAAGAUACACGAGUGACAAAAAUUGUAUAUCUAGUAUUGUUAAUAAUACACCCAGAUUGUAAAAGCUAUAGGCUUAUAGCCUCCCAGAUUGUAAGAAUGCAAAGGAUGCUGGUGAUUUUUUUGAUGAAUUUUUUUUUGACGAAAGGAUGCGGCUGAUUUGGACCAAUGAAAAACACAAAAUGAAUUAGUCACUACAGUUACAGAACAACAAAAUGACAAUUGACAAAUACCCCUUCCCACACUCCUGCAGCCUGAUUUCAAAUGUAACACUAAACAUGAUGAUAGACAGUAAAUAUCAGAAAAGACAUGCACCAUGGCAGCAGUGUCUGUGAUUUGGGAUUAUGAUAAAUUUAGCGAAUUUUACUUUGAUGAUGGCUGACUUAGAGAAGCACAAAACCAUCCUUGUUUAAGUCCAAGCUUGGCAUAUUGACCCUGCAUAAUUGAUACAUAUUAACAAAUCAAAAGUUUUAGCAUAACUUCAACAUACUAGCUGACCAUUUCUUUAACAAGCAGAAUGAAAAUAUAGUAACAAAACUAAAAUAUGAAAAGGUACCUGAUUUGUCAGCUGGUUCUUGAACUUCUCUGGAUUCCUCUUUCUUUCAGAAUGAAAUGCAUAAGACACUUCUGCAUCCAUCCCUGCAUCAUGUCAAGUCAUGCUCGUCAUGUUUGAAUCUCUAGUGCCUGAACUCUUUUAAUUGUUAUCUUCUUAAGGAUUCAUGAAAUAUGAAUUUAAUUAAAAAAUGAUAAUCUGCCAAAACAUUAAGACUUGCGCUAGUUUCCUUAGUGGGUCACCAAACCACUAUCCUUUGUAGCAUGAACUAGUACCCAGCAUCACAUGUCAAGAUAAAAAGUAUAAAUAAACAAUUGGAUAGUAUAGGUACAUAAUGGUCUUGCCCCCAUUUCUGUAACAUAAAAGAGGAGAAUAACAGUGAAGCCUUACCCAUACUAAAGUAAUUCCAAAAUCCUCCACGGAAUGUGUGGUAACCUUCCUGAAGUAAGCAAGAAUCAUGGAAGCUUUGAAUUUAAUACAGUAACCAAAUGUCUUUGAUUGUAAUGGUGCAUAGCCAUUAUCUUAAACAAGCAUCAUUCCAUAGCGAAAAAAACUGCAAUAGAAAGAGAUGUCUUACCAUAUUGAGGGAGUCACUACUUGAGACACGAUGAAACGCAUGCAAUGAAUGAGGCAACUCUAAUGGAGCAAUAGGAUCGCAUGGGCCUUCUUCUGGAACUCGCAUCCUCAACAUGAUGUGCCAACUGAAACAUCAAGUUUACAUUAAAUUGAAUCUGCCUAAAUAUAAGAGAGAAGAAUAAGCAUGCUUUAAAAUGAGGAAAGAUAUGAAGAUGAAGAGUUGAUUAUUCAAUUAUUUUAAAUGUAAAUAAAUAACUUUGUAUCUUAGAAGCAGCAGAUACAUGAGCAUAGGAGCAUGCCCUUGUUGCUGCAAAUAUGAGACAAAUUCUUUUUGCCGCAAACACGGGAGAGCUACUUUUCUUCUUUGAGAAAAUAAUUCCGUACAAACUACUACAAGGAUGGGCUAGACAAGCACAAAACCACAAUCUGAAGAUUAUUUUCAUCCUUUGGGCAAUCAUUACAUAAACCAAAAAAACUAGCAAUGUGCUCUUUCUCUCAGGCAGUACCUAUCGAUCUUAAUUUCUCUUGCAUGCUUCACUAGUCCAAGGAAAGAUUUUACAGCCUCUUGGUCAGUAGAAGGAUUCUUCUUUCCCUGCAAUGUUGAAUUCGACAUAAAUUCCAAUCUUUUCUUACAUGUAGAGGCAAUUGCAUGCAAGAUAACAAGCUAAAGUCAGAUGAGAAAAAAUUGAUAAUCCAUCAAAAAAAUUACAUUUGCAUAUGACUUGAUAGGAUCAUAAAACCUAUAAGAGUGCAUCAACUUUCCAAAAUUUUCUACACUCAUGACUCACUGCAGCUUAAAUCAAUAAAAAUAAACAUAUAUACCACAACUUGAUCAUAUCCAAAGUAUUAGACAUUAUGUAUACAGGUAAUAAUAAGGUGGAUGACAGUCAUUGGUGCAUUAGCAUAGACCAUUGGUAAAUCACCUUUUUUAGUCUAAAUUUCAUCAAGGCUGAAAAACAUAUAAAUAACUUCCAGUUUUCCUUUUUGUUUGUAACAUGAGCGACGCAAUAACAUAAAGGAAAUUUGUUUUGUAAGACGUUAUUGGCCACCUACCCAUCCAAAUGAAAAGGGGAGGUUAUUUCCGGUUCCCAGAGGCACAGUUGCAACUGGAGGUGGGUGGGAAAGCUUAAGAUCACUGACUACCCCAAGCAGCCAGCUAGCUGUACCAUCACCGCCUGCAACCUAAUUGAAAUCUGUUUAGUCAAAAGAAGUACAGUGGGAAAGCAAAAUAGACAGACACCUAUGUAUAAUAAUAUAAUCUAAAUUCUGAAAGUGUUAUGACUCACAAUUAACCUCAGCUUCCUCCAAAUUUGAACUGCAAGAAUGUCUCCUUCCAUCUUUAGCCUUUCAACAUUGGCAUACAAACGAUGCAAAACCUUAUCUGGAGUCUCUUCUGAGAGAUCAAAAACCUGAAAAUAACUGAGCAACUCUCACAAAAAUUCCAGAUUUAAAAUGCCAUCAAGGCCAGAAGCACAUUUCCAUGGUCUCGCAUUCCCAGAAAGACAAGAGGUACCUGUGCUUCAUUGAGAAGCUCACGGUAUGUUUUGAUUAAACUACUUCCAAGUUGACCUCCAGAUCUUGAGUUGAUGAACACUACAAUGGGGCAGGGUGGCGCAUGAUCAACAAGUACUUGUUCGACACCUGGCUUCAGAAUGUAAUCUGGAAUGUAGUAGUCCUCCAGCUGCCCACAUGGUUUAGAACUCGAACCAACGACAGUCUCUGCCUCCCCUUCCAUCCUGCAAAACCGUUGUCACAGUUUUAAUGGGCUAACUCACUGGUGUUACAAAAGUUACUCCCUCCAUUCGUGAACACAAGGCAUGUUUUGAUUGGGUAGUCAUGAAUUAAUUUCUCUUACAACAGAAUCAACCCCAUCCUAAAGGCACUUGGGAUACGAAUCUAUUGAUGCAACAUUUGUGCACGAAGCAUGAAUUAUAAUUUGACCAGUUGUUGGUCAAAACUUGAAAAGUUUGACUUUUGCAAAUCAAAUACACCCAGAAUUAAAGGAUGGAAUGAAUUAGUUCUGCUAUUUUAGCAUCAUCAACAUAGAAUAACCGUGAAUGAUUUUUUGAGCACAUCAAGAUUACAAGAAAUGGAGAACGAGAAAGGAAUCAGGGUGCGGGCCAAGUAAAAGACAUGUACACCCGAUAAUUAACAUCGUAGUUAGUGGAUACGACACAUGUAUAGUGUAAUUGGGUCAGAUCCGAAUGCAUAUAGCUUGGGGGCUGCUCGCUUCCGCCCAGCAGGAAGGCAAGGGAAAGAACGGCGUACCUUUUGGAUGAUCGUCACCGGCGAAGCGCCCUCGCCAAGUCACCGCUGCUCGCCCAGCGCCGCUACCGCCGGCGAGGAUCUGGGACGUGAGCCACCACGGAUCGGAUCGAAAGCGAGGGAAAGCGUCGCCGCCUGGGUGGGCCCUGAGCACCGGAGAUUGAGAUUUGGUUUUCUGAGGUUUCGAUUUCGGAGGAAAAUCGAUGAGAGGAGGAUGACGGGGAGAACAGGAGGCACUCAGGCAGCCACACUUUCUUGGUUGUCAUCGUCUUGGGCUCGCAUGUUAGCCAUUUUAAGAUUUGACUUUUUUGGUGUGUUUUUUACAUUGACGAGUUUACUUUGCGUGGGAAGUACAUUUAGGCCGGUCAGUGGAAACAAGGAUGUCAUGCAUAUUUAUUAGAGCGUCAUGUCAGUAAAACUACACUUUUUGCAUGAAACAAAGAGGAGAGAGAAGGAAACUCUACGGGCGUUGUUUCCCACGCGAUGAAACGGGAUGAAAUCCCCACUGAGGACUAAAUUGUUUCACCAUCUUGCAUGUGAUCCAAUCAUUUUGUAGUAAUUAAAUGCUUUGCCCAGCUUAGGAAACGUCAAGGUGAAACUCAUGCAUUGUGAAAGUUGUUUCAUUGUUCGUUUCAUUGAUGCUCUGUCAGCAAAUUUGUUUUGGAAAUAGUGCAUUGAAAUGGGCCAUUGAGACUGGCCUUAUGAGCUUUAUUUUGCUCAAAAAGAAUUAUGAGUGUUUAUUUUUCUUCCUUAUUUUUAAAUGAUUACUAGUAUUGAAUAUUAUUACUAGCAUAUGAUUGCCCUUUUUCUACGUUGUUUGACGGGCAAGUGUCACUUAUCAGCACUUUCGAACUAUUUAUAAUUUCUUUGGAGAUGUCUUGAGUCUCAAAAAAAGUUAAAAUGAUUUAUAGUUAAUAAAAUUGAGGGAGUAAUUAUUAUGAUGAUAAGGUUAAUUUCAAUAAGUGCUAAGAUCAGUCUUAGUGGGGAUCUCAUCUCAUAGUUUCUAACACAUCUAGAUUUGAAAACAGUACAGAAGAGUUUCAUCACCAUGAAACUCUCACUACUAUGAUGAAACUCUUAUCAUCUCGCUUCAUUAAUACGGUGUCAUAUCAACACUUCCUUGAAACUCCUAUCAUAUCUCUCUUUCAUUAAUAUGGUGGUACAUCAGCAUAAUUAAUGUCCAUAAAACUUUGAUGACACCCCAUUAAGACUGGUCUAAUAUAGUGAUUAGUGUAUGUUUUUGUGUGCCAAUUAGGGUGGUAGUGCUAAUUAACAUAUUUAAUAUUUUUAAUUACUGAUUCUCACGCCAACAUUAGUGUUAGUGCAUAUUUAUUAAUAUAUAAUUAGUUGUAAUUAUAUUAAAAUAAUAGAUACAUUAUUUAACUAUUCUCAUCACAUCCACGCUCAUCCAUCCAACCAAACAAAAAAUUGGCUCGAUGCAUCCAAACAAAUAGAAAGUAUGAAUAAGUCCAUCCUAAAUGCAUGGAUGGUCAUAUCACAUCCAUCUUCAUCCUCAAACUAAACAUGCCAUAAAUGAUUGUACUAUUCGAGAUUACGAGUGUAUGAUUGUUCUUUUCUACAUUGUUUGAGGGAUAGGUGUCUUUUAUCAACAAUUUUGAACUAUUUAUUAUUUCUUUGGAGAUAUACAUAAAUCAAUUUCCACAAAAUAUCCCUUUUUAAAAAGAUCAAUAACAAUGCUUAAAAUUUACAUCAUUUUGAAUAGAAAAUUCAAAAACAAAAUAGUCAUGAAUAUUAAAAGCUCUAGCUAUUAGUAUCCUACAUUGCUACUUUCAAAAGCUCUAAGAAUAGUUUCUUAUACAAUAUACUGAUCCAUAACGAAAUAGUCAUGAAAGGGGGAAAAAGGCCAAGCAUGCAAUUUUUUUGAAAAAAAAACAAUAAACACCAUGGUUCAAACACCAUACAGAGAAACUAUGGUUUUAAUAUUGAUUAUACGCUUUUUGUUACCUGUAGCAACACAACCGCAAAUAUGCUAGUUAGAGUAAGAAAAAACAGAGAAAGAGGAGGCGCAAAUCAGAUCGGCCCAAACAUGGCUGUUGCACACAUGUUCAGGGUGAAUUGGGCCCAGCUAACCCAAAGCUCUACGUUUUAUUUACCACUUUCCCUAUAUUUCAGGAGACUGAAUUUUAAGAUGAUUUCAGACAAUACUUUUCUACUAUAAUUAGUAUAAGUAAAUUGUUACUUUUAUGAUUUUUUAUUUAUCUUUGUGUCAUAACAUAUCAAAUUUUUGUCCUGUCUAACUAUAGAAAUUGUGAAUUUUUAAAUUAUCUGUGUGCCAACACAUAUAAGAUUUUAUCAGGCUUGUGAUUUUGUCUAACUGGUUUUUUAUUAAAAAACGAACUAAAACUACAAUUUUAAUAUAAAAUAUAUGUAAUAACCAUCGUCUGAAGGAGAACUAAAAUCCAGGCACCUGAAAUUUAGCAUAUAUUCGAUGCUCACCUCAUUAGUGUCGUAUUAUAUACCGCGUGGAGGAGCAACACAACAAUUUUUCAUAAAAACGGCCGCUGCCGCUGCAAAGCUAUGGCUGUGUUUCUCUCUUAUUUGUACUGUAGAUUUCUGCAGCGUCAGCCGCUGUAAAGGCCAGCCGAGAAGGCUGAUCUUGUGGCAUGGUUGCCCGAGACAUGUUAAUCUUAUAUUUCCUAUAAAGUUAAUCUCCAUUACAAGUUCUAUCUUAACAUUCAAACAAUCUACAUCAUCUCGUAUUAACUAUCGACAUCAUAUUUUACUAAUAACCAUGUCAUUUCACUAAAACUAAUCUCACUACUAGUGUUAUCUUAAUAUACAAUCUAUCCACUAAUAUCCAUAUGAUCUCACUAACUUUUAACCUCUUAACGCAAGUUAUCCACGUCAUCUCCACUAAGCGCAAUUACUAGUUUCAAUAUAUAAGAAAUAUAAAAGGCAUCCAUAUAAUGUAAUUUGUUUUGCUGUUCCAUCUUAUAAUUUGAUCUAAUUUUGGUAGUUUUAUUAUUGGAUUCUUCUGUUGUCUUGCCUAAGGCCUUGUUUAGUUCCAAAAUUUUUUGGGAAAUCGACACUGUAGCACUUUCGUUUGUAUUUGACAAAUAUUGUCCAAUCAUGGACUAAUUAGACUCAAAAGAUUCGUCUCGUCAAUUUCGACUAAACUAUGCAAUUAAGUUUUAUUUUUAUCUAUAUUUAAUACUUCAUGCAUGUGUCUAAAGAUUUGAUGUGACGGGAAAUAUAAAAAAAUUUGCAAAAAAUUUUUAGGAACUAAACAAGGCCUAAUUGAUAAAAUGGAUAUAAGAGCAUGUAGGUUUGACUCACAUGUAACUGUUUUAUUUCUAAAAUAAUCCUUCUAGUUUACACAAAUUUGGUCACCAAAACAUUUCAGCAAUGGAAGUGAAUGGACUACUCCUUAGGUGGGAGUUGGAAGGGCCAAGAAACUACUCUGCCUGACCCCACUUUCAAGAGGGGAACAAUACUCAGUCUCAGUGUAUCCUGUGGCCUGCCUUUGUCUGUUCUCCUGCGCAAAGAUCUUUUGAGAUGGGUUGCGUUGGGUUGGGUGAGUCGCUUGUGGACCAUUUCCGAGGAUUGAUAGCAUCCUAGUAAAGGUGUUGCCACCAUGAUUCCCCCUCUUUGCAUUCCAUGGCCAUGCUCCUCCUAGCUAGCUUUCUCCUGUCCCCUUCGACAGACAAUUCGAAUGCUUGCUAGCUCAACGGCUGGCGGCUAUGUGAGCACAGGCUCCUGAAAGCUCUCGUGGAAUAAAUAAAUAAAGAAGCACGAAAGAAGAUUAGAUUUGCUCUUUUUCGUGAUAAGUACCACGAUUAGCAGUUUUGGUCAAAGAAAAAAGACAUCCUGACUAUGCUGGCAAUUUUCCUUAGAUUUGCUCUUUUUCGUGAUAAGUACCACAAUUAGCAGUUUUGGUCACGAAAAAAAAAGACAUCCUGACUAUGCUGGCAAUUUUCCCGGCAGAAGAUUAUAUAACCUCGGAUCUCGUAACCAUAGCCCAUAGGAUGGCAUAGCUUAUUAGUAUGAUUGAGGUGUCUUCUUCUCAAACUAAACUUAAGGGUCUUUUAAAAUGGUCUGUGGUCAAUCAAGGAGAAGCUCUGAUCCCCUCAAUCUGCAAUAUUCUUGAGCUCCUGAUGACUCAUGCUUGGCCACUAAUCUAUUCCCCAAGUCAGUGUGCCACCGGUUGCAAGCAAAGCUGCAGGCCACCGGCAGGCAUGUGGCUUGUUUGCACGAUGCUUCCAUGUCCAUGCUAAACGCCAGCAGAAUUUAAUAGAAACGCUUCAGUCCCCUGCCUGCAACUCUCUUUCACACCACAAAGCAAAGCAGCAGGCAGCAACAGCAAGCGUACAUCCAUGCCAUGAUGUCUCCCUGCUUUCAUUUUCAGGCGUGUUUCUUUGUGGUGAGUGGUGUCGAUAGCGACCGGGUCUGGGAGCAAAAGAAAAGAUCAGGGCGAAGAAUCUGAUGCCCCUAAGCAGGCAGGCAGGCAGGCAGGCUUGUGGGCUUUGUGGCAGUAUCAAAAUCUGCACGUUGCUGUCACUGACCUGAUGAGCUUUAGUAGAUCAACCUCAACCUCUGCAGAUUUUUCAAAUGAUGUUACUUCUGCGUUCCCCCUACCCAGUCUGGAUAUUUUCCAUUUAAGAACACCUAUUUGACCAGAUAACCAGGCAUCCACACAGGAAUCAUAUCCUAAUAAUCCCAAGCCCAACUGGGAUAAUUAAGAAUUCCAGAUCCAUCUUUGCCAUGUGGCAACUUGCGCAAAUUGUAUUGCCAGGUGAGCAACAGUGCCGCAUGUUUCAGCUGCCAUUACAACAAUAAAUAGUAAAUCUCACCAAAAGAACUGUGGCGGGACAUGAAAUUAGGACUUAGGGCACAAAGGAAGCACCGAGACAGUGAGGCCAUCCAUCACACAAUGCCAGUGAAAAUGCGAGCCUAUAUCAUUUCUCUUAGGUUAGCACAUACACCUCAUCCACAAACAGAAGAGGAGGAAGGAAUUAAACACAACAAAGUCGGGGGACAUAUACAAAGUCGUCGCCAUUUAGGAAUACUAUCAUGGUUCUGGGGCAGCUGCCCUGAUAACUAUGCGCGCACAAGGUUGACGACUGAAGAACGAUGUACGCCUCAAUUUGAUGACCGAAGAAAGAUGUAUGCCUUGACGGAGACUGAUCUCGUCAUGAUCCACACCUUCCCGAAGCUUGGAUACACUAAAAGUGACCUUCUAAUGUAGUUAGCAUCAUCAUCUACACCAGUCACAUGUUGCCUGCCUCAGGUAAAGCUGCAAUAACAAAACAGAAAUCUACCAUGAGCAACUUUGAACAUAAUCAUGAAACAAGACUCAAACUGAAUUACCAAAUUUCACCAAAAGGUGUUCCAACCUACAGAAAUUACCAAUCAUGAAGCUGUCCUAGCAACAACAAAAUAUAGUUCCAAGGCUCAAAUACUAGGCAUGAACACCUUCUCUGACUGAAGCAUUCAAGUGCGAUAAUUGACACAAAUUGCCACUUGGCACCUCACAAGCCCACAUACCAUCUACAUGUCGCUACACCGAAAAUAGACCACAAAAAAGUGGAAAUGUAAUGCUUUUAUAGAAACUAAAAGCAAGUUCGCUACCCAUCAGCUAGAGCACUACUGGGAUUGCGGAUCACUCCAAGCAUCACAUGAUGGCUCUUGGCAAGGCAAGCAAAGCUUUCUCGUUAUCACCCCCUGAUGCCUUUUUCCCAGUAGAAACUUCAUGACCUCAAAACCCACAAGUAGCCGUCAUAAUGAUAUAGGCUUACUGCAACUUCUAUAUCAAUUUGCUCACCUUACAAUAAUUUUUAUUAAUUCUUCCCUGGCAAUGCUACUCACGAGUUAUUUAAAAGAGAUUGAUCCACCAUAUUUAUUUUUUUUAAUUCAGUACUUCACAUCAUGCUUGUUAAGAUGCAUAAUUGCAUCCACGUCCGGCAGCAGAAACUUUUUCCCAUUUUUGUAGUACAGUGAAUGGUACUUGCAGUUCUUAAGUAUUCACUGAAAUAAACAUGCCAUGGAAUUUUCAGAUCAAGGGGGGUUUGCAGACUCACUCAUUUCGGCCAAUGCCCGCGUUGGAGCAAUUCCUCGCCGGAGUGCCGCUCCCGGAUUGCGCCGACCCAGAGCUGAAGAAAUCUGAGGGUGAUCUCUUCCUGUGGCGGGAGGAGGCGAGGAACCGGCCACCGUUCCGGGAGGAGGUGGCCUCGUCGCUGCGGCCGCCGUGGUGCGCUGACGACAAGUGGUGGCACAGGCCCGGCUGCGAGGUGGAGCACGGCAUGUUUUCCUGGAAACAAACAUGGCGACAUUUGGAUCAGAACGACCGGUCGCUCACGAAAUUGGAGGAGACGGUGGAUCCUAUCGACCGCGAUGAUUCACGAGGGAAAGCGUCCCGAUCGACUAAAAAAAUUGCAUCUUUGCAAAGCGAUAGAAUGGCAGAUCGAGCGAUGGAAUGGCAAAUCGAGGAGCAGGUGGAGAGAGAGAGGGGAGCUAAAGGCGGCACCUUUGCGCAAUCUGCGGCGCUCGCGCCGUUGGCGGGGGCCUCCCGGCUGCUGCUGGACGUGGAACUGGCGACGGGCGGCGGCGUCGCCUCGGCCUCCUCCGUCCACGGCACGACCUGGUUCUCCCCCUCCCCUUCCUCCUCCUCCUCCUCCUCAUCCUCGUCGUCCUCAACGACCACCUCGUCGUCAUCGUCGCCGCCGUCGUCGUCGUGGUCCUCUUCUUCGUGGCCGCGGCCGUCGCCCGCGCCGCCCAUCUCCUCGUCGCCGCCGCCCACGCCCACAGCGCCAGGGCCGCGGCGGACGCAGCGGUCGCAGAGGGAGGCGGUGGGGCCGAGGCGCGGGCCCGCGGCGCGCCACGGCGUGGGGCGCGCGCAGCCCCGGCACAGGAGCGCGCGCGCGUGGCGCGCCACCAGGAAGUUGGCGCCGUGCACCUGCGCGUCGCAGCCCCAGCAGAGCGUGGCCUCGUCGGCGCCGCAGUACACCCUGGCCGCGGCGCCGCACAGCUCGCACGCGCCCCCGGGGCCGGCGCCGGCGCCGCCUCUCUCCUUCCCCCCUUCCCCCGCCGCCGCCGAAGACAUGAUCCUCGGCCUUGGACCUCGCCGCCACACGCACAGGGGGGGAGAUUUCUCGGUUUCUUUCUUUCCGUGGCUUCCUCCUUUGUUUGGAGAGCGGCGAGAGAGAUGUGAGGAGGGAGGGAGGGAGAGGGAGUAAACGGAAGGAAGGAAGGAAGGAGCAGUGGGGUGUGUGUGUGUGAUGUGAGGCUGGAGUUUGGUUGGGUGCGGGAGGUUUUGAGCCUCCAACCGAGGAUCCUCUGCGGAUGCGCUUCGCUCCCACUUCUGGCCGCGGGAGCCUCCAGCUGGACAUUCCUCCCUUCCAUGCCUUUUUUUUUUUUCUCUCUCUCUUGCCCCCUCACCCCUCGCGCGCUCACUCUGUGUCUCUGUCUGUCCUUCCCGGAGGCGUGGCUGUGGACUGUGGACCAUGGGUUUAUCUUUAUCCAGCAACUGCAAGAGUAAACAUAGCAUGGUUCAGAUUUAUUUAUGGAAAUAUCUAGAGAAAGGCUAUCCAGCUACUAAAAGCCUAUUUGUUGCUUUGAAUGACUGACAGAUUCAGUUUAUAAAAACUCAAGCAAACAGGCUCUAAGUGUUGGACACACUUUUUUUCGGUGCUCGUCUCACCCCCUUAUUUUCCAACUCCAACGAGCUUAAAAGACAAGGGGUUUGGGAGAGAAAAAUUGGCCAGACAAUGGAGCGUCCAUGGUCGGAGCUCACCGCGGAAGAAGGAGGGGGAAGAAGGCGGCUGUCACGAGCGAGCUCCAGUAAAACCCUAGCGCGCCCGUGGCGGGGCGGUGGGCGGCAGUGACAGCGCAUUGAGCUUGAGGAAAAAGAUACGAAGAGGGAAAAUUAGGUGUCGGGGAGAAGGACCAGAUCCAAUAUUUAAUAUGAGUUCUUUUACUUCUUUUGUACGUAUCAUAAAUGUUAUAUAGUGGCCAUUAACCUUGUAUUUUGGGCUUUUAGCAAAGACUUUAAAACGCGCAGCCUUUUUAAAGGCGCACCGUACAACCACCUAACCUAUCUCCCUCCCCACUCCUGCACCCGCCAGGUCGUCUUGCACCUCACGCAUCUUCUCUGUGUCUAACUCUGGCGAUGGGUUCUAGCUAGCGACAGGGGGGUUCAAUGUCGGCGUAGGUGUGUCCUUCUUCUCCCGCAUUCAAGCACUCCCAAGUUAGGGUACUGGUGGGCCCCUUUCUUCUUCUUCCACAACUCUGGUCGGCUUAGUAGAGAAGGGGCUCAGGAGAGGAAGGUCGCCCAAGCGAUAGGGACGGUGGCUUAGGGUUUUGGCAGUAGUAGAGGUGGCCAGGGCAGGUCGAGAUGGGGCGGCCAUGGUAUGGUGUUGUCGGGAGGGGUGAGGGAAAAAGGGGACUGCCACAGGCAUGCAUGCUAGGGUUUCACCGGAGCUCUACACCCGCGCCGCCACGAUCGCGGAGCUUCGCUGAAACCCUCGUGCACCCACGGCGGGACAAUGUAUGCCAGGGCGAUGGGACUAAGGAGAAGGAAUAAUAAUAAUAAUAAUAAUAAUAAUAAUAAUAAUAAUAAUAAUAAUAAUAAUAAUAAUAAUAAUAAUAAUAAUAAUAAUAAUAAUAAAAAAAAAAAUAAUGAUAAAUAAUAAAUAAUAAUGAUAAUAAUAAUAAUAAAUAAUAAUAAUAAAUAAAUAAAUAAUAAUAAUAAUAAUAAUAAUAAUAAUAAUAAUAAUAAUAAUAAUAAUAAUAAUAAUAAUAAUAAUAAUAAUAAUAAUAAUAAUAAUAAUAAUAAUAAUAAUAAUAAUAAUAAUAAUAAUAAUAAUAAUAAUAAUAAUAAUAAUAAUAAUAAUAAUAAUAAUAAUAAUAAUAAUAAUAAUAAUAAUAAUAAUAAUAAUAAUAAUAAUAAUAAUAAUAAUAAUAAUGAUGAUGAUGAUGAUGAUGAUGAUGAUGAGGAUGAUGAUGAUGAUGAUGAUGAUGAUGAUGAUGAUGAUGAUGAUGAUGAUGAUGAUGAUGAUGAUGAUGCCCUAAGUACCUCUAUUUAUUAGAAUUGAUUUUCCUAGGUGUCCCUUUGGAAUGUAUGAAAUUUACCAAAAUCCAUUUAAGUAUAUACAGGGAAAAAAAGCAUGACUAGAGGGGGGGAAUAGUAUUACAAACAAUGGCUGAACCAACAAUUUUGAUUAAGGAGGCGGGACAAAUAGUCCUUAAAUGUAAAAAUAUACAUAAGUGUAUGUCUCAACAGAUUUUUAAAUAUUUUUAUAGUAUUAUAACAAAAUUCAUAAUAUUUUAAUAAAAAAUGGGUGAGUUGAUCCUUUGUUGUGCCGUAUAGAGCAACUCCUAGAAUCUCAUUGUAUCCUUUCUGAUUAGUACGAAUAGAGAUUUUUAGUAAAAAAAAACUCUAGCUACUUGUUUAAGCUGACCUCAAAUUUUAUAAUUCUUUCAAGUUUUUUUUGUAAUUCUUUCUAUAAUUUUGGUUAAACUGUAAAUGCUUUGAUUCUCUAUAAGAAAAUUAAAAUAACUUAUAGUUUAGAACGGACGUCGUUAAGGUGACAUGACUAGUUAUUAUUGUACCGUUGGCAAUCAAGUGUUAUCCGGGCAAAGUGAUGAAUCUUCCUUUCGGAAAAAAAAAAAUAACGCGCGCGACUGCCGACAGAUGAAAGUAAAGGUUAUUUGUGCCACUAGUAGGAAUACUACGCACGAGUACGAGACGAUGAUAGGGAUGUGUAGCAGUUAUUUCUUCUUUUGUAAAAAAACAAAAAAUUUUAGCGCAGGUUGUGUACCUAGACGCAUGCAUGCAUGCAUGAACAAAGGCUCGAUGGAAAAGAUGGUUGUCCAGGCAUCAUCAUCAUCGUCCAUCCAUAACAAAAGAUCACUUAACAGUGACAUGUCUCGAUAUCGAUAUAAAAAAACGUGAGGCUGGGAAUUGAUCAAGAGGCGGAGUGGCCGCGAAGGAAGCAAACACCAGGCCACCAGCAGCAGAGCAUAGGACAGCGCGAGGCCGCAAGGGCCGCCCGCCACAAGCUCCACGGGUCCGCCCCCACGUGACGUGAAGCGCCCCGGAUCGAUGAUAUCCAUCCCGCGGUGCCACCUCGUAUUCCUCGUCUCUCCCCCACACACCUACCCACCUCACCAGCAAACUCACACGACACAUGACCCUACUCCCGGCCCUCAAAUACUUUUUAGGCCUUUUUUUAGUUAACCCUAAAAAUCAAAAACUUUUCAAGAUUCUCUGUCACAUUGAAUCUUGCGGCAUAUGCAUGAAGUAUUAAAUAUAGACGAAAACAAAAACUAAUUGCACAGUUUGCCUGUAAAUUACGAAAUGAAUCUUUUAAGCGUAGUUAGUUUAUGAUUGGACAAUGUUUGUCAAAUAAAAACAAAAAUAUUACAGUACCGAAAUUCAAUUUUUUUUUAAACUAAACAAGGCCUAAGGACUUAUUUAGUUCCUAAAAAUAUUUGGAAAAAAAAUAGAUUAUCUGUCAUAUCAAAUCUUACAGCACAUGUAUGAAGCAUUAAACAUGGAUAAAAAUAAUAAUUAAUUACACAAUUUACCUAUAAUUUGCGAGAAAAAUCUUUUGAAUCCAGUUAGUCCAUGAUUGAAUAAUAUUUAUCAGAUACAAACGAAAGUGCUACAGUGUCCAUAAAAAAAAAUGGAACUAAACAAGACCUAAGUACUCCCUCGAGACCCAUAAAACAAAUCGUUUUAGACAAUGGCACGGUCUCCAAAGUCUAACUUUGACUUCUUGUUUUUAUAAAAAUAUUUAUCAAAAAGUGGUAUAGAUAUAUUUUUGUAAAAGUAUUUUUCAAGACAAAUCUAUUCAUAUGGUUUUCAUAUUUUCAAACUCAACAACUUAAAAGUUAUUCAUGAUUUAUAUUCCCAGUGUUUGACCCAAACCUUGUCAAAAACGACUUGUUUUAUGGGUAUAGAGAAAGUAAUAGAUUUUUUUCCCUCUCUCUAUACGCCACUCCUUGCUCUACUACAUCAUUCCCUCCAUCUCAAAUUAUAAGUCAUUUUUAAGAAUGUUGGAGAGUCAAAACAUCUCAAUUUUGAUCAAAAUUAUAGAAACAAUUACAAAAAUUUAUAACAUCAAAUAGGUAUAAUAUGAAACUAUGAUUAAUGAACAAUGUAAUGAUAUUAAGUUGAUAUCAUAGAUAUUAUUAUCUUACCAUAUAAAUUUGUUCAAACUUAAGAUGAUUUAACUCUCCAAAAUUCUUGAAAUGACUUAUAAUUAUAAUUUAGGAUUAAGGGAGUACUACCCACUGCCGUCCUUAGUCCUCUCUCUAUGGGUUUUUUAUUUGGCUAUGGUAGCAUUUUUAUUUUAUUUGGUAAUUAGUAUCUAAUUAUAUUUUUUUUUUGAGAUUACACAGUACAACGCAGACACUCAACCCGCACGCACACUCACCCCUAUGAACACACGUACGCAAACCCUACCCCUAUGAGCACCUUCGAAGGACGGAGCCAGCAAAUCUUGAAGUUCACGAAGUCACCACAAGCGUCUCGCUGUCAUAAAUUAUAUAUAAAUUAUAUAAUUAUUUUUUAUCUAUAUUUAAAGCUCUAUCUAUACGUCUAAAGAUUUAAUGUGAUGGAUAAAAAUAAAAAUUUUAUAAACUAAACAGGUUCACUCGUGUGAUGCCCAUUUGCUUGUCUUCUUAGCCCUACUUUUUCUAGCACCCAAAAGUAUUCAAACCUGCGAAUGACAGCGAACAGACUCAAGGUCCUGAUACCGUACUCCUGUAUACGAGACGAGCCAUAUAUAUAUAGACCGACCUGAAACGUGCCAACCAAUGUACCACCCGACCUGGCAAGCUGCAAAACUAGCUGCAAUGGUAAACGUCAAAUAAUGCAUACCACAGGAUGACAGGAACAGGCCGUGUUUAGUUCCUUUUAGGAAAAAUUUCGCGACACUGUAGCACUUUCGUUUGUUUGUGGUAAUUAUUGUCCAACCAUAGACUAGCUAGGUUUAAAAGAUUCGUCUCGUAAAUUUCAACCAAACUAUGUAAUUAGUUUUAUUUUCAUCUAUAUUUAAUAUUUUAUGCACGCGUCUAAAUAUUUGAUGUGACGAAGAAUCUUGAAAAUUUUUAGCUUUUUGGAUGGAACUAGCCGUGUUUAGUUCCUCAACCAAAACAUUUCGUUACACUUGUAGCUUUUUCGUUUAUUUGUGGUAAUUAUUGUCCAACCAUAGACUGACUAGACUUAAAAGAUUCGUCUUGUCAAUUUCGACCAAACUGUGUAAUUAGUCUUUAUUUUCAUCUAUAUUUAAUACUCCAUGCAUACGUCUAAAGAUUCGAUGUGCUGAGAAUCUUGAAAAUUUUUAGGUUUUUGAAGGAAACAAGGCUGCGGCCAAGACAAAAAGUUUCGUCUGGAUUUACGGGGUUCCCCAAAAUUUCGAGGAUGGCGUGUAACGUGUUGACUCACUUUGAAACACACAGCUUCGAAACGUUCGUGACAUGCAUGAUGCUUGAUGCAUCUGUCAUGUGUGCGAAGACUUCCAUGGACUUCAACAGGCUUUGUUUAGUUCCAAAAAAUUUGGCAAAAUAUAUGCUGUAGCACUUUCGUUUGUAUUUGACAAAUAUUAUUCAAUUACAGACUAACUAGACUCAAAAGAUUCGUCUCGCAAAUUACUGCUAAACUGUGUAAUUAAUUAUUUUCUUUUAUCUAUAUUUAAUACUCUAUAUAUAUGUACUGUAAAAUUUGAUGUGACGGGAAAUCUGAAAAAUUUUGUAAAACUUUUUGGAACUAAAGCUCGGAUACCCGUAGUCCGGUUAUCCUGAACUAGUGCAUCUAGCUUGUUCGCUUGUCUUAUUAGCCGUAUUUUUUUUUUGUAAGGCCUUGUUUAGUUCCAAAUAAUUUUACAAAAUUUUUCAGAUUCCCCGUCACAUCGAAUCUUUAAAUGCAUGCAUGGAGUAUUAAAUAUAGACGAAAAUAAAAACUAAUUAUACAGAUUGGUCAAAAUUGACGAGAUGAAUCUUUUAAGCCUAGUUAGUCUAUAAUUGGAUAAUAUUUAUCAAAUACAAACGAAAGUGCUACAGUGUCAAUUUUCCAAAUUUUUUUGAACUAAACAAAGUCUAAGUCAACAGUUUUUUUUCAAUAAAUUAGCGAAUAAUAUUUUCAGCCAUGACUUUUAAGACUAGCUAACAGGAUAAACCCAACCUCCUACCAAUUUUCAGUGCCAUCCCUAGACCUACACGCGACGUUGCACACUGGUCUCCCAACACCUUGUUUGUCUAUUGGUUUUCUACACCGGUUCUCUAUGGUUUCGCAUGGUGACAUUCUACCAAAUUUAUUGCACGCAAUUUACGCAAUUUACUAUUAUGAGAAUGUUUGUGGCUCGUUAUAAAAAAAAAAGAGAUAUUUGUAGUAUACAAAGAAAAAAGUUAUUAAGACCCUAACGUGGUUUUGACUUUUCCAAUAACAAUAAAACUUUAAUUGUGUGGGUAAGGCUUAUAACACUUUUGUUUUUAUUUGACAGACAUUUUCCAAUCAUGAAGUAACUAGACUUAAAAGAUUCGUCUCGCGAUUUACAGGCAAAUUGUGCAAUUAGUUUUUGUUUUCAUCUAAAUUUAAUACUUCAUGCAUGUGCCAUAAGAUUCGAUGUGACAGAGAAUUUUGAAAUUUUUUUGAUUUUUAAGGUGAACUAAACAAGGCCUAAAUGAUGCAAGACAAUAUAACAACGCUUUCCACUACUGUCUAUAUUACUAGUAUUUUAUACUAUACGACCCAACAGGAACGAAUGGUGAUUAGUUUGUCUUGCAUACAUAGUUGACAAAAUUAAUCCUGGCCCUUCCAAAUCAAUUAAAGUAAUGAAUGUAAAGAUUUCAUCCAAAAUUAAAAUCACAGCAACACAACACAUGUAAGUUACACUUGUACCUGAUGUAAUUUAGCCAUAAAAUAUUUUAAAUAGUCUAAUAGUUGGUCGUUUUGAUGCUACGUUAAAUUCGCACAACAUCCUAAAGUAUGGAUAAAUUAAAGUAAAUUUAAUCAAGAAGUGAGACAUUGACAUCAUUUGUUGUUUAUUGCUUUCUUGUAAGUUUCUGUAAGGGCAUGCUUGGUUCGCUCCCAAUGCGCGCUGCAACAGCUACGCCUUGUUUACUUGCAUCUGAAAACCCAAAAAUUUUCAAGAUUUCACGUCACAUCAAAUAUUUAUAUGUAUGCAUAGAGUAUUAAAUAUAGAUAAAAAUAAAAACUAAUUACGCAGUUUGGUCGAAAUUGACGAGACGAAUCUUUUGAGCCUAAUUAGUCCAUGAUUGGACAAUAAUUACCACAAACAAAUAAAAGUGCUACAGUGUCGCGAAAUUUUUCACUUCACUAACUAAACAAGCCGUAAACGCCUGCGCUGCACUUCAUCCAAAGUUUGGAGCCACCUGUGGCGGCAGCCAAACACGUACAUCUAGCAAUUCUGGCCAAUGCAAUUUAUUGUUUCAGUUUGCCAGCCCCUAAGGUUUGUUUAGUUCACCCAAAAACUAAAUUUUUUUUAAAAUUCUCUAUCACAUCAAAUCUUUCGGCACAUGCAUAAAACAUUAAAUAUAGACGAAAAUAAAAACUAAUUGCACAAUAUCACACCCAUAUUUUAAGAACAAAAUAGGAUGCAUAAAAGACUCAUAUGUGCCCCAGAAACAGUCGCACACAUAAGUAGACAAAUCCCAAUUGUACCAUUGCAGUGUUUAUUACAUAGCGGAACAUAAUAUAUAUCACAUAGUCUCAUACAAAAAUGAUAGCAUGAAGUAAACAACGCUCUCGACGGAAGCUCCUCACAGGGACAACAUUGACUGGUUGACUUCAAACCUAGUACUUAUAGCGAUAAUCCUCAUUUCAAUCAUCAUCAUUAGCAUAACCUGGGGUGUUGGGAAAUUGCAAGAGUGAGCACAUAUCUCAACAAGUAUAACCAGGGGUUCAUGAGGCUCAAAAAGCUGACACUGGUUUGACUGCAUUUAGCUUUUAAUAGUGGAUAGCAUGUUCAUAAUUAAUGAGCAAUUGUCAAGGUAGCAUAAAUAAUCCAUUAAUCACAUGAUCAAGUGUAAGCAUAAUUAAUUCAUAGCAUAAACGGUAAUCAAAUGAACAUAAAUAACAUAACAAGCUCAUCAUCUUAAUGUAGAUGUCCCCAAGGCCGCUCCUGACCGUGAGCUCGACUAGUAUACCAGUUUUACACUCUGCAGAGGUUGUACAUCUUUACCCAUGAGUCAUGAUUUACCCUUUCGCCCGAGGUAACUAGUCUCUUAACCCCCUUCCUAGGGAGGUCGGCAGGGAUCACUAUGAAGCCUUUCAAAAAUUCGUCUAACAUGUUAGGGCCGCAAGGUUUCCUUUGCAAGCAGAUAUAGAUACCCCCCUUCCGAAUGGUACAAUGACGCGCAGCCUAUACACAUAGGGACAGGGGCUCGCACUAUACCCGUGUCGGUUCAGCCCCUCCGCCCUUUCGGGUAACCUCUAACAAGCUAGAAAAGGUCUCCAUACUGAGCUAAAGCCAGAGCCAUUAUAGCCCUCAUGGUUGCACUGUUAUCCCGGGUGAUCACGUACAGACAAGAUCUCAUACAGUUAUUUGUCAUUCUUUUAUAUUCAUUGCAUAGCUAUUAAUCAUCUUACAAGGUCAUGGAUUAUAUCAAGCACUAGCACAUCUACAUCAAAUGCAUAUCAAGUAUGUAGCAAGGAAUCCAGGUAACAAUCAUCUAUAAUUUUGCUAAGGUCGACAAGGUGAAAGCAUGCAUGUGAUAUAUAUGUGUAUUUAUAAGUGAAUAGGUAACAAGGAUGAUCCCAAGUUAUACUUGCCUUGAUCAAAGCUCUCCUGAGCCUGCUGGUCUUCAAAAGCUUGGUCUUGAUCACCAACGUACGGCUCACCGUCUAUUCCCAAACAUCAAUCAACAACACGCAAUCUAAUGUAGACAAUCAUACACAAAGCAAACAAGCUAUAAUUAGAACAUUACACCAACAGUGAGAAACCAAAGAUAAAAGUUGAUGAAAAUAUUCUACGCAGCGCUACGAUCACACAAACGUAAAGUUCACGAAAAUCGGAAUUAAAACGUAGAAGUUAUGAAUUUUCUAAGAUUUCCUAUAGAGAAAUAAUUAAUUAAAUACUACUGCAGAAUUAAAAAGUUUCAAAACAGAGAAUAAAUACUUCUAACAUGUAGAGCUCGUAAAUACGAAUCUAACGAAAUUUGAAUGGACAAAAACGGAGUUAAAAUGAAUAUUCUAUAAGCAAUUUAAGUUCAGUGGCAAUUCUGUAAUUAUUGGAAAGCGUAUUUUAGAUUCAACCGACCAGAAUACGCUUACUGAAAUGGAAAGCGUAAAGCUGCUUGAGGCGCCAGGGACCGUGGAGCAAAAACUGAAUACUUCAGGGACUCUUAAAGCAAAAACGCAGCGAAGAGGUAAGUUCUAAUCUCGCCCGUAGAUGAUCGAUCGGACGGCUCCCGAUCCGCCAGGGAGGGCCAGGCGGCGGCCGGCCGGCUUCCUCUGCCCCGACGCGGUGGCGCGCCAUGGGCGCGACCCAGAGCUCACCGGAGCUCUUCGAUUCCCCGUUUCCGACCACCAAAACUUGAAAGAAAAACUCCGGGAGGGCGAGAAGCUCACCGCGACCUCGCUGGGACCCUUUGCUUGGGCCGAGAGGUGACAAAAACGGCUCGCGGCGUGCGGCGGUGGAUUUGGCUCUCGGCGAGAUUCAAAACUUGGCUAGACGGCUGCUAGGGCUCAGUCUGGCGGCGUGGAGGGGAAAGACGGGGUGCGGCGAGAUAGUUGAGGCUUUAAAGGACGCAGUUUUGCUAUCUUGGCAAGGAAAUCCCCGAACUUCGGGAUUGCUUCAGCCGGAGAAGGAAACCUGCUCGGUUACGACGUGGAGAAGAAAACCAUCGCGCUGACAGGUGGGGCCCGAGCGCUAGAGAGAGAAGGGCGGGGCCCGGCUGGCGGUGAGAGAAAGGGGGUGGGAGAGAGGAGGGGCGCGCGGGUCGGCCAGGCGCUUGGUGGGCCGCGCUAGCAGGCCGGGGGAGUAGGAGGCUCGGGGGGGGGGGGGGGGUUUAGCUGGGCUGCGAAAACAGAUUCCAAGGGGGCUACUCCCCUUUUUCUCUUUUUCUUUUCUAUUUUCAUUUUCCAAGACAUUUUCUAAAAGAGCAUUUUUGAGCAUAACAAAUAAGAAAAAAAUAGAAACAACACACAAAAUAAAUGUUAUUCUCAGCAUGAAUGCAAAAGCAUGUUGGUAGCCUUAUGAUGAAUUUUAUUCUCCACAAAAUAAUUUUAUUUGCUAGGUUUAAAUGCUCACAAAAAUACUUAAAUAAAUCAAAUUAAUUCCUAUUAAUUGAAAAUCGCGAGACGAAUCUUUUGAUCCUAGAAAGUUGUGGACACCGACGAGGAAGCUGAUUUAUUUUUAUGGGCCGUACGUAUGUCAUGAGUACAACUACUAGUAAAAUUUUGCCAUGCUUUCUCUGUACUAGUACUUUCAUACGAAUAUUUAAAUCUAUGUCAAUAACGUAUGGGGCGUGGAAGAUUUCACUCUACGGACCAACCCCAACACUCACUAGUAUUUAAAAAAAUGUCGUAUGUGCUUGACUGUCCAUAGCACAUCACCUCUUCUAGCCGGCUACUCCUAAAAAUUACUAACGCCUAUACUACAAUACAAGUUAUAUAAUAGUGGGGCACACAAACUCGUAGUUGCAUUUUAUUUUGGGACAAAAGGGAGUACUUUGUCUUAUCCAACAACAUGAAAGUUUAUAUAUUUUCGAAAAUAAGCUGAAAUUCAAAUUACAAAGGUGGCAAAGUAUCCAUGCCAUCUUUAAUUUAGGUUCACUAGGAUAAGGAUAUGUAGGCAUUCAAGAUGGGUGUUUUCUAUAGCCAUAAUCUUGGAGUUAUCUAUGCUAGUAGAUAACACUUGAAUAGACACGGACAAUAAGUGGAUGAUGUGUUAUGAUAUACUCGGAGCUAGUGUUGUGUCAAACUAGAUCUCAAAGCUAUAGAGUUGUGCCAAACAUGUUCUAAAGAGCAUCUUUCACAGUUUGAUCAAGCCACUUCCAAAAAUCUUCAAGUAGGCUUGUUUCUUAUUAUUUUAUUCAGAAGCAAAUUAUAGAAAAAUGUUGCAAAACCAGAUUUUUGGACUCUUCUUUUUUAUUAGACACCGUUGGAGAUGAUGCUCGAAGAGCAAUACCAGGAUAUGUCAUAAAAUUCUUGUGAAGCACCAACUAAUGAUCGAGGUCAUAAAUUAUAAAUCAUAUGGACCAACAAUUAAUGGUAGACGGUUGAACUCCUGAAUUGAAACUCGCCAUAAGUAUGCACAUACAUGACUUAUGUUGCUGAUGAGACUACAUUUUCCCACGAAACGGCUAAAAUGGAAAACCGAUUAUCCAUGAGAUAUAUAUCUUGAGCAUCAUUCCCUCAAGAUAUAAGUUCCAUGACGACAGCACUUGUGGACCAUUGUACCCAAGAUCAGAUAGUUUCUUCAAACUUUAGAUGCUGGUAGAGAAGUGAGGCUCACAGUCAUCUCCGAAGAAUAUCCCCGAAGAAUAUAAUGGAUCCAUUAUAUUCUUUGUACCAACAAGCUAACUCUAUUGUGUGUCGAUUUUCUAGUGAAUGACUUAGGACCAUGGAAAACGUAUAUAUCAUUUGAAGUGCAAAAGCUAUAACAUCACUUGAUCCUUUUGGGCUACAAUCUCCUGCCAAAUGUCUGAAUAAGCAAGCGCCUUUUUGCUCAAUACUUGCACAUAUAGCCAUAUAGUAGUACCUCAACAACAAAAGGAGAGAAUAAAAGAAAAAAAGGACCAAGACACCAUCAAGGCAAAUCGCAACAAAAAAAAAAACAUCAAAGCUCGGCCCUAGAAAAUAUGUGGACCUGAAUAACUUGCAGCAUGCACAUAUAGUUAAAAUUAAAAACCGAAAAUAAUAUAUACAGUUGAUGGAGAGUCCAGCAGCAGAGAUAAGGUUCGCUGACGAAAUGGGAUCAGAGAGUUCGCCUAGCGAUGGCAUGUUCAUAUGUAUUCGAAACAUCGUACCAAUGCUUUAGCUUUUACAAUGGACUGUAGCAGGGAAUCACCUUUUUUUGGUUGUUGGAGUGACAUAAAGAGUCACAAUAUACUGCAUUUCACCCGACAUAUAUACUAUUCUCCCUCACUUCAAAAUGCAAGAUUUUUUUUAUUAUCUCCUAGAUCAAACAAUCGUCAAGUUUGACCACGUUUAUAUUAAGAGUCUGUUCUUUUUUUUCAGGUGUACUUUUUCUGUCAGUUAGGAGUGUUUAAUUUUAGUCUUAAUUUUUCAGACCAGCGAACAGACCCUAAAACGUAGCAACAUCUACGAUGCUAGAUUAGCUUUCUCUAAUCCACCAUUGAAUUUAGGUUUGUAUGCACUUAGAUAUACAUGUCUAUAUAAAUAGCAAAAGCAACAUAUUUAGAAAAAGCCAAAACGUCUAAUAAUUUGGAACAAAGAGUAGUAUUAUUUUUCAUAUAGCCCAUGAAAUCCACUAUAAUAAAGAAUAUAUAUGUCAAAGCUGGCAUUGUUUAGUUCGUGAAGGAAAAUUUCGUGACACUGUAGCACUUUCGUUUGUUUGUGGUAAUUAUUGUCUAAUCAUGGACUAACUAGGCUCAAAAGAUUUGUCUCGUCAAUUUUAACCAAAUUGUGCAAUUAGUUUUUAUUUUCAUUUAUAUUUAAUAUUCCAUGUAUGCAUCUAAAGAUUCGAUGUGACGGAGAAUCUAGAAAAUUUUUUAGUUUUUGGGUGGAAGUAAACAGGGCCAAAGUCCAUUAUUUCAAGAAAAAAAAACUUUGUAUGCAACAUUCUAUCUUUUUAUAAGGAAAAAAGAAGUAGUACUAUACUGCAUCAAUUCUGUGCAGUCAGCAGUGUACUCGGCGUAGCGAACCGCUUGGUGGCCACACGUUGGGUGGAGGUGGCGGAGCGCGGUUGCAGGCCGUCAGAUCCGCAUCGGGCGGCGGAGGGAGCUAGUGGCGUGGGACGUGUAGUUCCGUGGCUGUGGGGGCGAGUCGCGUGGGCCCCACGCCCGCCCAGCCAACUGCAGCCGCACGCUGGCCUGGGAAGCCGCGCGCCGCGCGAGGUGAGGUGGCUCGCUGCGCGUGGACCCACUGGGCCCCAGAGCUGGUCCUCCUUUUUUUUCUUUUCUUCUCCGAGGCUUCCGUUCUCACCUGUUCCCCACGGAGGUACUCCCUACUUCCCAUAAAUAAAUAUAUUUUUUGAUCGGUACAAUUUAUAUUUGACUAUUUAUUUUAUUUAAAUCUUUUAUAUGCAAAUAAUAAAAUAAAUAAAUCAUUAUAAAAAUAUAUCUAAAAUAAAAUAAGUCAUAACAAAAUAAAUACUAAUUAUUAGAUAUUUUUAAAUAAAAUAAACGAUCAAAUAUGAAUCAUACAAGUUAAAUAAAUACGUUUAUUUAUGGGACGGAGCGCAAAACUGCACUCACUUCACUUGCAGCACCAACCGAUGGAUGGAUGAGCAGAGAUGAAGAACAACACACACGGUUGUGCUUUUACAAAAUAAUAAAAGUAUUUUGAAACAGGCUUCGAUCUUGCAUUUAACAUGUCCUAAAACAUAUUCCGUCUGCCCCUGAAUAAAUAGAUUUCUAGAAAAUUUAUGAUAGAUUAGUAUGAUGAAGAAAAAGACCAUACUACCAUUUAUUAAUUGGAGUAGUUUGCACACCUAUUCAAGUUGGGCAAUAAUUAUAGCAUUUACUAUAUCCAUCCAGUUGCAUAGACUCAGGACUUGUUUAGUUCGCGGAAAUUUUUAAAUUUAGCUACUGUAAUAUUUUUGUUUUAUUUGAUAAUUAGUGUCUAAUUAUAGACUAAUUAUGUUCAAAAGAUUCGUCUCGCAAAUCAAAUUAUGCGAUUAGUUAUUUUUAUAUCUAUAUUUAGUGCUUUAUACAUGUGUUUAAAGAUUCGAUAUGAUAGGAUGAAAAGAAAAUUUUUGGGAACUAAACAAAGCGUGGAAUUGGUAGAAAAGAGAGAAGUGAGGUGGUGCAGUAAAUAUGUGGAUACUUUGAGAAAAAUAAAUGAGCCACCCAUUAAUGUUCCUUAAGAUUGAUUUAUUGUACUAGACAAAUUAGUAUGCUAGGAAUCUAAUUAUUAAAAGAACAAUUUCCAACAUUUUCAUGGUUUGCAACGUGACAUUAACUUUGACAAUUUAUUGUUGGUCAAUUAGAUGACUUGCUCAAAAAUGUAUUCAAUCAUCAUGUCAUGUGAUUUAGUUUUGACUUAUAAUUGAACUCUGUGCCUAGACGUUGUGUUCCUAUUCACUUUGAGAUGGGUCUCCGCAAAUGCUCAACACUCCUUGUUUACUUCUCCAAAUAUUUUGCAAAAUGUUUUAGAUUUCACGUCACAUCGAAUCUUACGGCAUAUGCAUAAAAACAUUAAAUAUAGGUAAAAAGAAAACUAAUUACACAGUCUGCAUAUAAUUUGUGAGAUGAAUCUUUUGAGCCUAGUUAGCCUAUGAUCGGAUAAUAUUUAUCAAAUACAAACGAAAAUGCUACUGUUCACAUUUUGCUAAAAAUUUUGCAAGUAAACAAGGCCGGUAACUCGAAUAUGCACAAACAAGAGAGUGGCAAAUCAUAGAAACAGUCCGCUCCAAACUUAGACCCUGUUUGGUUCCUCUUGCUAAAUUUUAGUUAGCUAAACUUUAGUCACUUUAGUAGCUAAAGUUUUCAAACACAUUGACUAAAAGAAGCUAAAAUAGUUUAGUUCUAUUAAUCACCUAAGAGUAGCUAAAAUAAUUUUAGCUGGAACCAAACAUGCCUCAUCACCCUAGCUAACCUAUACAAGCACUAGAGAUUGGGUACACUGACUGUGAGCAUGUCGGACCACAAAAUCUUUCUCUCCGCUCAAUAUUAGGAACACAUAUAAAUGUACAUAAUAUUGAAGUACAAUGAUUUUCUUCUUCAUCCAUCUUGCAUUUACAAAAUUCGUUUUUAUAGAUGACAAACUUAGGCCCACAGCACGAGCCCAAGUAUGUCCUUCCAUUCCCUCGCACUCCUAUCCUUCUCAUUUUCACAUAUGGCAAACUUAGGCCUUGUUUACUUUCAAAAAAUUUUCAAGAUUUCCCAUUAGAUCAAAUCUUUCGGCACAUGCAUGAUGCAUUAAAUAUACAUGAAAAUAAAAACUAAUUGCAUAGUUCAUCUGUACAUUGUGAGACGAAUCUUUUAAGUAUAGUUACUCCAUAAUUGGACAAUGUUUGUCAAAUAAAAACGAAAGUGUUACAGUGUCGAAAAUCUAAAAAAAUUUGCGAACUAAACAAGGCCUUAGACUCAAGAUAUUCUUGAAAAAAAAAACUUAUACUCAAGGUGUUGUUGAAAAAAAUCCCCCUCCAAGGACUUUGUAUUUGAACUCACUUUUAAAUAUAAAUAUUUGAUUUUUUUUUUCUUUCAACUCAUCCGGUCUCCGUGCUCGUUAUCCGUUUGUUUUUUUUUCUAUUUUAGGAUUAGGAAGGUACUCCCUGUAUCUCAAUCAUUCUAAAAAUAUCUCAAGUUUAUAACUAAAUCUAUAUGAUCAGAUAAUACAAUUAUGAUGCUAACUAAAUAUCAUUAAAUUUUUCAUUAAUUAUAUUAUCAUAGUAUAUCCAUUUUAUGUUACAAAUUUUAGUAUUUCUCUAUAUAAUUUUGGUCAAACUUAAAAAGUGAUUUGACUCUCCAAGAUUCUUAAAAUGACUUAUAAGGCCUCAUUUGGUUUCUUCCGAUAAAGUUUAACUCCUGUCACAUGGAAUGUUUAGACACAUGUAUGAAGUAUUAAAUAUAAACUAUUUACGAAACUAAAGACACAGCUAAAGAGUAAUUUACGAGAUGAAUCUUUUAAGCAUAGUUAGUCUACGAUUGAAUACUACUUGUCAAAUAAAACAAAAAUUUUAUAGUAUAUAUUAAACAUUAACACCUUUAACCAAACAUCUUGAAUGGAGGGAGUAACUAUUUUGGGCGGUGGAAGAACCACGCAUGUGAAAAUGGGUGGCUACACAACAAGAACACCUUGAGCAAUGUCACAAGAACGUCACAGUCUCUCCAAUUAACGGCGUCCCAACCGCGGCACAGUGACAAUAUAUCUCAGACAGACACAGGAGAGAGAUGAGAUAGUUACAUGAGCAGCACAUCUAUCCAUGUCCAUCCAUAUCUAUCCAUCUAUAUAUUUGUCUAUCUCUAUCCAUCUGUCCUGGCCGGAGAUUUGGAUUUGUCUAGCUAGCUGACAUGAUUGAGCAAUCAGCAUGUAAUAGUAAUAUUAAUUAAUUAAUAAAUUAAUUAAUAACUAGCAAGUACUAGCAACAAUGGAGAUAAAAAUGGCGCAGCCACAAUCUUGUUAGAGAAAAUAGUAUAGCUAACUAAAGAUGACGAAUAAUUGCAAUAUAUAUAUAUAUUUAUAGAAGCAAACACUGACCCGAAAAAUAAAUAAAAGGACUCAGGAAAGAAAAAGAAAGAAAGAAAAGAAUAAAAGAUGCGGCGGGACGGGACGGGAGGAGGAGUUUGUGGCUGUGGAGUGAUGUGGGCCCCAUCAAUGGGGCCGGAGCCGGACGGUGUGGAGGCCACGUGAAGAGCGCGUGGACCGGAUUGCUCCCCCCGCCUUCCCAUGCCGGCCGCUUCGGCGGGCCAGCCCGCCAGACACAAACAGUCCCGAAAAAGAUUCACCACGGGCCUUGUUUAGUUCCAAAAUAUUUUACAAAAUGUGAAUAGUACCAAUUUCGUUUGUAUUUGAUAAAUAUUGUCUAAUCAUAGACUAACUAGACUCAAAAGAUUCGUCUCGUCAAUUCCGACCAAACUGUGUAAUUAGUUUUUAUUUUUUUUAUAUUUAAUACUUCAUGUAUACGUCUAAAGAUUCGCGCCGCUCGUUUGCUUCCGCUUCUUUCCUCAUCCUUGGCCUUGGACUCGACUUUGGACCAACGCUGACGCACAUGCUCUGAUGUAUACCCGCGGAGUACUAGGUAGAAAUAAAAUUUAAGGCCUUGUUUAGUUUAAUCCAAAAAUCAAAAACUUUUCAAAAUUUUUCAUUACAUCAAAUCUUACGGCACAUACAUAAAACAUUAAAUAAAUAAAAACUAACUGUACAGUUUACUUAUAAAUCGCGAGAUAAAUCUUUUAAGUCUAGUUACUCCAUGAUUGGACAAUGUCUGUCAAAUAAAAACGAAAAUGCUACAGUCCCGAAAACCAAAAAGUUUUUGGAGCUAAACAAGGCCUUCCUACAAUUUUUGGGUUUUGGGUACGGUAGCAUUUUCAUUUUUAUUUGGCAAAUAUUGUCUAAUCAUGGACUAACUAGGUUCAAAAGAUUUAUCUCACGAUUUACAGGCAAACUGUGCAAUUAGUUUUUGUUUUUUUUUGUUUAUAUUUAGUGCUCUAUGCAUGUGUCGCAAGAUUUGAUGUCACCAGAAAUCUUGAAAAGUUUUUGGUUUUUGGGGUGAACUAAACAAGGCCUAAAUAAAAUGCAGAGCAAAGAGAUUAUUUUAUGGUUAAAACAAAAAGACAAAACUGUUGUUACCGAUAGCAAAACCACCAUUCACUACAGAAAAACCGUCCUCAAAACCGCUCUAGCGAGGUAAAAUACACGGUUUAAAAAGUUGAUGGAGAUGAUUUAUCCAAUUUUAGAGUUGAGCGAGGAAACAUAGAUUUUCAUAAAAAAAAACGGAGUAGACUUUUUAUUACGAAACAAAAUGAAGCAGUUCUGGGCCCACCUUACCGGUAGAGCCCAACACAUCGAGCAGCCCAUCAAGCGAACAAACAGCGGGCCAGCUACCCUGGCUGGCUGUGGCUGUGGGCCGGUUUCUGCGAGUGUGCGUGCGGCCUGCAGAGCGUCUGACCCACAUCCACACCCCGCAUGCCGGGCCGGGCCAUUAUCUCGUCUCAUCCAGAUUCUCCGGGAAAAAGUCUACUUUAGGUCUUCAACUUUCUCGAAAGUCUGAUUUUCAUCUCUGAACUCUAAAACCAGACAAAAUACAUCCCUCAACUUUUAAAAUCGUGCACAUUAUAUCCUUGACCUGGUUUUGAAAGCGGUUUUACCUUUUUAUUUUUAUUUAUUUUGGCUUAUUUUUUUGAAAAAUAACAGUAAAUCACAUAAAAAUCAUAAAAUAGAAAACUCAAUUUUGUUGGACUUUAGAUCAAUAGAUCUACACAUUGAAUAUAUAAUAUAGUAUAUUCUAGUACAAUUUUUUUGAUACAUCUUUAGAUCUAUGUUUUUCUAUAAUUAAUUAGACUAAUUAUAACUACAUUUUCUAUGGUCUAAUUGUGACGAAAUUUAUAUGGUGAGCUAAUUAUUCUAUGUUUGAGUUAUAGUAAAAAUUUUAUACUCAUUUCAUCACGUAUUACUUAGUUAUAGAUUUAUUUAGGUUUAUGCUUGUUAAAUUAUAAUAAAUCUAUAACUAAGUUAUACAUGAUCGAAUGAGUAUGAAAUUUUUACCAUAGUUUAAACAUAUAAUAAUUAGUCUAACAUAAAAAAUUCACCACAAUUGCACCAUACAAACUAUAGCUAUGAAUUAUUCUAAUUAAUUAUAGAAAAACACAAAUAUAAAGCUACAAUAAAAAUUUUGUACUAAAGCAUACUAUAUUAUAUGUUCACUAUGUAGAUCUACUCAUGUGGAGUCCAACAAAAUCAGAAUUACUAUUUUAUGAAUUUUAUGUGAUUUACUAUAAUUUUACAAAUAUUCAGCCAAAAUAAAUGAAAAUAAAAAAGACAAAACUGCCUUCGAAACCGCUCAUAACUAUGUCAGGGACGUAAUAUGCAUGGUUUUAAAAAUUGAGGGGUGUAUUUUAUCCGAUUUUAAAGUUCAGGGAUGAAAAGCAGACUUUUGCGAAAGUUGAGGGACUAAAAGUGGAUAUGUUGAGUCAGACGAAGAAGAAGACUAUUUUAGGUCUCUCAAUUUUCGUGAAAGUCUUCUUUUCAUCCUUGAACUUCAAAAUCGGGUAAAAUAUAUCCCUCAACUUUUGAAACCGUACAUAUUACAUCCCUAACAUGGUUAUGAGUGGUUUUGGAAGGCAGUUUUUUUUUAUUUUUAUUUAUUUUGGCUGAAUAUUUGUAAAAUUAUAGUAAAUCACAUAAAAUUCAUAAAAUAGUAAAUCUGAUUUUGUUGGACUCUAAAUAAGUAGAUUUACACAGUGAACAUAUAAUAUGGUAUGCUUUAGUAUAAAAUUUUUGUUGUAGUUUUAGAUAUAUGUUUUUCUAUAAUUAAUUAGAAUAAUUCAUAGCUAUAAUUUGUAUGGUCCAACUAUGGUUAAUUUUUUAUGUUGAGCUAAUUAUUAUAUGUUUAAACUGUCUUAUUAGAUCUUGUAUAACUCAGCCAUAGAUUUAUUAAGAUUUAACAAGCAUAAAUCUAAAUAAAUCUAUAACUAAGUAAUACAUGAUCCAAUGAGUAUGCAAUUUUUACUACAACUCAAGCAUAGAAUAAUUAGCCCACUAUAUAAAUUUUAUCACAAUUAGACCAUAAAAACUGUAACUAUAAUUAGUCUAAUUAACUACAGAAAAUCAUAGAUCUAAAGCUGCAUCAAGACAAUUAUAAUAAAAUAUACUAUAUUAUAUAUUCAAUGUAAUACAUCAGAUCAGAUUUUUCUUUGUUAGUUCUCUUGAAUCUUCAUCUCUCUUGAUGUCUUUUUACACACUAUUAAUUCCUGUAAACAUUGGAUGCCUCACUGGAGUGUUUAUGGGCCGGGUUUUGCCUCUAGAAUAUUAGACACGUUCAAGCAUCGAUAUUUGAUCGGGUUCAGUUGGGCAAAAAAAAAAAAGGACUGGCAUCAAAUCAGAAUUUUGACAUGUGCCAACACAGUUAGGGGAAUGUUAGGUCGGUUUGGGUUGGAUUUUUUCCCAUUUUGUGUAAAAAAAUUAUGCCCCCCCCCUCCCCCCCCCCCCUAAAAGGAACCCGAGAGGCUGACCCAAGAGGAGGAUGGCUGAAUUGGGUCACUGGCGCCAUAAACCUAGCGAUCUCUACUUUAUUUCACAUUGAGCCUAGCUAUGUUUAUGUGAUUAAACAUAUAAGCAAAAUUUUGGACAAUUACUUAGAACUAGUGACCUCAAAAUGGGGAAGUAGGAGCUGCAAAUAUCGCAUAUAAAGGAGUAUUUUUUCGAAAAGGUUAUCAUAAGAAUAUAAUUCUCAAACAGAAGUGUUAAAUAUAUUGUGAUAACAAAGUAUAAUUACAAUGUGUGUGCCACCUGAUUGUCACAAAGGAAAAUUAUGAUGAGUUACAGUUUGCUUGCCAUAUAAACUAUAUUCAUCUGGCACCUCAUUAUUGUAUGAACCUGAAGAAUGAAUUCAAGUCUUCAAGAAAUCAUUCCUAAGAUUCAACUAUAUAUAUAUAUAUAUACUCCAUACUUCAGUCAUAGAUUGCUAUAUAUAUAUAUGUGCUCACUAGUAACUACUGCAUGUGAUGUGAGUUAGCACUUGAUAUUAUAAUUAGCUAGAACUUUCAAAUUAUUCUAAUUAGUAAGAGCUGCUAGCUAGCUCCCGGAUGAGAUACACAUCUACUACCGGAAGGCUGCAGGGCCUCCAAACGGUGUCCAGAAAUCGAGAGGCGUCUCGCUGGCCACCGCGAAGGUGCUCGAUAUCGGGACUAGGCACAGCCCUCGGCCGGUGAGUUCUCCGUUUGCCGCCGCCGCCUCACCUCCAUCCCUCAAGACCUGGACGUACGCAUCAUCAGGAAGCCAUUGUACAUAGGUGUUAGGUCAAGUAUGCAGCUAGCAUGAGUCUAUCUGAGAUGAGCCCUGCAGGGUAUACAGCAGCACUGAAAAUACUACUGUAGCAGUACCUUGUGAUGGGGCACUUGCUGCCUGUUCUUUAGGUAAGGAGCACUGAGAGACUGCAUAUAUACAAAAGCGUCCAUUCAAUUUUGAGUAAAAUGCGAGCUGGUAGAUCAAAAUUUCUACAUAUUUAUGAUUAAAGCCUUUAAAGGACCAGAGAGCUGCAGCAGCUAGAUCAAUCGCACUUACACCAACUUGCUCAUGCAGGAAUUUGAUGUACUCGAUGGUCUCGUGGAGCACCGAUGCCGUAUCCGUCUGAACGUGCAGCAGCAGCACGCACGCCGAGGUUGAUCGAUCAUUUGUUUUUGGCAAAGAGAAUUUCAUUUGUUAAAAGGUGUGGGCCUUUUGCAACGAGACUUAUUGGGGUAUUAAUUGGACUCUGAAGUUUUCAGCUUCCAGAAUAAUACGUAGUGCGUGGAAGUGCAGGACCAUUAACCAAAUUAAGACCAUGGAUCGCUUACCUUUCCAAAAGGGGAGACUAGUUGCUGAAGUGCUGUGAUUCUGUCACCAAGCUUCUCUUUCCUCACCUGAAGCAUAUAUAAAACCCAAGUGGAGUAUACAUGAAUGAGUGUAUAUAGUACAGAAACUUUAUGAAAGCAAAAUUGUAUGUGGCCAUUCCAUUAUUUCCAUAUAGUUAGUCUUGGAACAACAUCAACUUUAAGGAAAACAGUUCAACUCAACAACAAAUCGGGGUGUUAGUUUUCCAUGGUGAAAUAGGAUCUAAACUAAUUGUCGUUGCUAGUAUGUAUACCUUGAAGGUAGGCAAUGGUGAUGGUGUCCCUGUUCUCGAUUUCUUGAGUGGUGGCGGCGUUGGAGCGGUGUUCGUCCUCUUUGCAAUGAUAUUGCUAGAGUCUCCGGCACCUUCGUCUAAUGCACUCUACAUGCAUAGAAGAACAAACUAAAUUAAUUAAGGUUACAGGCUGAAUCGGGACAGAUCGCGGUAGGCACAGCACAACGGCGCAAAACAUUCAGGCCACUGAAAAUUAUCAAACAAAGCUGUGUGGCAUGCAGUGAUUGAAGGUAACAAAGAAGUUUUCAGGCAACUGAAAAAUUAGCAAAACUGUAACUAUAUAUACUCGAAUCGAACCUUGACUCCAAAAUUUGCCGGCCUAGAUUUCCCUGACGGUGGUAAUAAGCUUGUGGCCCCCUCCGCCGCCGAAGCAAAGCUGCCGGCAGAAGGGUUCCAAAACGGCGUACUAUUGCUGAACUGCAGAGCCUCCCUGAUGCUUCCAGCUGGCACUUGGUUCAUCGUCUGCUGCUGGUGGUACUGCUGCAUGAAGCCCGGCGAGGAAGUCUUGGCUGCUGCCGCCGAUGGCUCCGUGAGGCUUCUGAGCAGUGAGGAGGUCCGGAACCCGCCGGAAGAAGAAGUCGGCGACGAGAGCAGCUCCAGCCCAAGGUUGGACAGGAACUGUUGGUUGGGAUCAUGGGCGUCCUGUAGCAUCAAGCUGUUGUUGUGAUUCGAUGAUGGGCUCCUCAGACCUACGUGAUGAGCCUGGUCGCUUCUUGGGCUCAUGUAGCCAUGGAAAUUACCAGCUACAGAUCCAUCCCUAAGAUGGUCAUGGUCAAGCAUAGAUACAUAUGAUCAUGAAUAAACUUUCAAGAAGAGCACCAAUAUAUAAUUUCUGGAGGAAUUAACUAAACAAACAAAAGAUCAGAGAGAAGAAGCAAAUUGAAGUUGGUGAGACUUACAAGUAGUAAGAAGGCUGGUUCCAGCAGCUGGCGGUGAGACCACCAGACACCGCGGGGUGCGACGGCACGGCGACCACGCCGUGAUCGGCGACGGCGCCUGCGUUGUCUUGGAAGGUUAUGGAGCUGCCGCCGGUGGCGAGCGAGUGGUUGGACCCGGGAGACUCCGAGGAGGCCGCCGCGUUGCCGGACCUCGACUUGUUGUUGCCUUCAGCAGACGACCAGCCGGCGGCGCCAAACCCAGCAGAUAGCUGAUCCGGCGAGCACGACACCGCCGUGGUCCACCAAUCGCCGCCGUGCCCGUGACCCGUGCUGCCUGUAGUGGCAGCCGCCGGUGGAUGGAUCAUCUCCUGGUGAUCUGCCAUAUCUGUCUAUAUCUAUCUAUCUACGACAGAUACAUGCAUGGGCGGGGUCCGAUCUGUUAAUAUAUGGGAUCGAUCGAGAUCUUGAUUCGGCUAAAUUCUUGGCAGUUUAGUUAGGUAUGUAGCUAAGCUAGAGAGGUAUGGUAGAUAGCUGUGGGAGAGAGAGAGAGAGAGAGAGAGAGAGAGGGGCGGCCGGGCAUGCGAUGGAAGAGUAGUGGCGAGUAAUGAGUGUGGCGUGUGGUAGUGCGCGGCUAAUAGCUGAGCUAGCUCUCUAGCUAUAUGUGUCAGUGUGUGGUGUGGGACUGUGGGUUAUGUGGUGGACGACGACUACUGUCUGGUGGGCAAGUAGGAUGUGAAGUUUAAUCGAAUGGAUUAUAUAUAUAUAUAUAUAGAGAGAGAGCAGAAGUGGAUCAGAGUGCAACGAAAUGGUGGCGCGACAUGAGUGGUUUUAUAUAAACUGCCGUCGGGCCGAGGAAUUAAAGUGGAAGACGUACGACGAAGACGACGACGAAAAGGAGGAAGAAGAGAAUUUAGGUUUUCUGACCGGCCGGCUAGCAGGAAGAGAGAAUGAAAAGGUUAUAUAUUUUAGGUGGCCAGGUCGUCCACGGUCUGAGACGGCGACGCCAUUAUCGUAUGCUAUUUGGCGCAGCUGGUUAAUGAUUACCUGCUCAUCUUGAUCUCUCAACAUGCUGUCAUCAUACAUAUAUAUAUACCUGGUUAGCUGGUCUACAUUCGAGGAUCCACGCGUGCAUGUGCCAUAUGUAUAUGUAUGUAUAGAAGCAUACAACAAGUACGUCCCCUGUAUGAACAUGGACACACACGCUGCUCUCCUGUAUAUAUGUACUCUUCAAAAUGCAUUUAUCAUUUUAUCUAGCUAUAAAAUAGUACUCUGCAAUUCUGCAUGCUUUUCUAUUAUAUUAAUUAGAUUCUUUGGACGCUAAAUCGAACAUGUCCCCCAUUAGAGGAGGUAGUAGUAUCACACCUAACGCUAGUAGUUGUUUAUAUAUGUGUGCUGUGGUGUGUGGUCCUCUCUAAUCUAAUCUGAGAGGUGUAACCCUACUUAGCUUAUUGCCCUCAGAGACAUGUUUUAAUCCUACUCCCUAUGCAAUAUGUAUAUAUGCUCAAAAAAAUAUGCAAUAUGUAUAUGGAAUCAGUUAGUUGCACAUACUCAUCCUCUCCUACUAGCUAAUGCUCAAUACUCUUCUCCUACUAGCUAAUGCUGCAUCGAUACAUCUCUCGAGCCCAGACAUGGUGUUAACUUAUUUCUGGAACAAUUAAUGAUAGAUCGAACUGCCGCCUAUCAUAAACUUGAUCAAGAUAACCCUGGCAGACGCACAAUUUCCUUUUUCAAGAAAGUAUAAGCACCGUAGAAAAUCAAGGUGCUCGAGGGAAUCAAGAUCAUGCUUACAGGCGGCACGUCAUCUGGAUUCACACCUCAAGAGUUUCUAUGCUGCUCUUCCAGUGUUAGGUUUAUUUAGUCCUACAUCGAAAAUUGAUGGUGAAGAAUCCCAACAUAUAAGAUGAAAAUAACUCUUAUCUAUCAAACUAGUCUUUUAGGUUGAGUUAAAACCAAUGUCUUAAUAUGUCAUUGUGGACUCUGAGACUAGUAUAUGAGAUACUCUCUAUCAAUAUGUUUGUAAGGAUACUAGUAUAUGAGAUACUCUCUAUCAAUAACCGACAGAUGUUGGCUCUUCAGUAGAAAAACAAUGUUCGUUUACAACUUGACUUUACUACAUAGCCAAGCACUUAACUCUAUUAUUGGAUUUGUUCUAACAUGGGAUAUAUAUAGCCAAGCCUAGCUAGUUGCUUCAAUCAAGUAGAUCAGUCUAGUUAUUAUGAUCCUUGUUGCUUUUCUUCAUGCUUCUAGGUCCCAAAACUUUAUUUCCAUUAUCAUUAUGAAAAAAAUAACCACCAUAGAAGAUAUGUGCUCCAUCGAUGUGAAUGAUCAAAGGUGUGAUCAGCAUUUUAGAACAAGUAUUCACAAAGAUAAACCUCGAAAAAAUAUUGACCUCGCAUCCUCUUGGCAAAGCAUUGAUCCCCAUAUAUAACAUCCAAGAAACACAGACGCACCACAUACAACUAUCAAUGUCAAUGACAAAUGGAUAGGAAAAUAUGGAGAUUGAUGAAUUAAGUCAUGACAUAUUUAUAUAUCAUUGUCGACGAGCAUAUCAUUUGCCACUAACAAAUGGAUAGGAAAAUAUGGAGAUUGACGAAUUAAGUCACCACAUAUUUAUAUGUCAUUGUUGACGAGUAUAUCAUUUGCCACUAGAAAAUAUAGGAAGAGAAAAAGGUGGGACAUGGUUAAAAAAUAGUAUCUCAUAAAAUUGACGAAUUAAGUCACCACAUAUUUAUAUGUCAUUGUUGCCGAGCAUAUCAUUUGCCACUAGAAAAUAUAGGAAAAGAAAAAUGUGGGACAUUGUUAAAAAAAUAGUAUCACAUAAUAAAAAAAACCUUUUGUAGACAAAUAUAAGACAAUUGUGGUAUAACUUGGCUCUAAUGGGUUCUAGUCAAGCCUAACUAUGCUCUCCAUCGGGGUGAAUGUAAUACUUCAAUCAAGGUCCGCAUUUUGAGAAUGAGUAGUACUCAUAGAAAUAAACCUCCAAAAUAUAUUGCAUUGGCUUUGCAUCAACAUCAAUGAACAACAAAAACAUGUUAGCACUAGAAUCCUUUCUCUUAGCAAAGCAGUGAGUGUCAUAGCACCCAAGCAACACAAACACACCAUAUACACCUAUUAACUCCAAUGACAAAUGGACAUGAAAAUAUGGAGAUUUACAAAGUCAUCACAGAUGUAUAUAUCAUUGUCGAUGAGCAUAUCAUUUGUCAUUGAAAAAUAUGGCCACAUUAACAAGGCAUCAAACAUAUACAUAGUUUUACACCAACCAUCUUUAGUAAACCAUCUACGAUAGGAGUAGGGGCAAAAUUCAAUUGCCCACAAGUUCAGUACUACCUCAUCCAUAUCUCCAUGCAUGAGUCAAGACUUCAUAUUUGUCCUCAUCAAUCAACAUGUGCCAGUGACACAAUGCUAAACCCUGGCUACCUUCAUCCCUCCACCUCAUCUAUAACCAUCUAUAUUAUGCACACAUCACUCAUAUGUUUCCCACCAGCCAAAGUUGUUCUUUUGUAGUCCAUCCUUGUGACUUAAAGGAGACCAUGAAAAAAUAUGUUGUAGAUUGUCCUUUUAAAGUUUGCAUAUUAUUUUCACUUUUGAAUUAUGUUGUUGGGACUAUACAAUGUGUUCACUAGUACUUAGACUAUACAAUGUGCUCACUAGUGUUCCAUGCCUCUGUGUUUGAGUUCACAAGUUAGAAAACGCACAUAUCAAUCGCUAAUAGAUAAGACAUUAUGGGGUAUGCUCAAACAUUUGUAGAUGUAGGUCUGCAACUGACUCUAAAAAUUUACUUUUAAGGGAAGUUAAAUAUUUUGCACCACCCCUGAAAAUUGAUUUCUAUAGACAGUUGCUUAGAAACACCAACCACCCCUAGGAAUUAAUUUUUAAAAAAAUAAAAACUGAUCAUAAAAAGUGGCAAAAAAUAGAGUCGGGAUAAGCCUACUAGCAACACACUGCGUGUGUGUCGCUAAUCGUAGUUCACACAAAAUAUGCAUGCAUGUGUGGUCCCAGAGAUGGCCUCACUAUCCCUCCCUACCACCACACUCAUACUCACUUUUGGCUACAUAUAGGAUGUUUUAGCCUUUUUGUCUUAACUUCUAUGGAUCUUUUAUUAAAAAUUUGGAAUCUAAACAAUCUCAAAUAGAAGAAAUUUAUAGUUUAACUACAUAGUUUAAAAUCUCAUCAAGCAAUACAACUUCAGUAUAGGGCAUCACUCCAUCUGAGGUCAUUUGAAAGUUUAAAAUAAUGGAUUUGAAAAUCUCAUAACUCUUGAAACUUAUAUUUGGGGCUCUAAAGAUUUCAAAUAAAAAAGUUGAAAGUUUAUAGAUCUAAUUUUAAUACGAGUUUGUCUUCAUCUAGCUUUACUUAGCAUCAUUACUUUAUAAUUUUGAUAAUUUUUUUAUGUUGCACUUAUUUAUUAUGGUGGUCAUAUUACUAACCAUGGUUGAAUCAAUUUCUAUCCAUGCUUAGUGCUUCUGACUGUCCCUACAAAUGUAUCUAUCUCUAGGACGAUCUGUAACACUAACCGCACGUAGAAAUAUUAUUACGGGCGAUUGGUAACAUCAACUGUCUGUAGAAGUUGAUUCACAAGUUAGUCUCUGAAAAUAGUGAAUAAUAAUGCCUUCAUAUUCAUUUGUUUAUAUACCGUCAGUACUGUAGUAUACUUCCUUCAUAUUCUUCAUCCUAAAUUAACUGUCAUUUUUUUUUCGUUUCAAUACCAUAAAUUUUAUUUGAUUUGUAGAAAAUAUAUACAAUAUUUGUAUCUCUAAAUAAAUUUAAUUAAAAAUUAAAUAUAUAUUUAGUUAAAGUUAUUUUACGGAAAGUGAAAAACGACGGUUAUUCAUCGGAGAGACAGGUGCUGGAAGCUGUGCUCUUCACUCUGCCGGGGAGUAUACGUACAGGCCGUACUCCAGAGAAUUCGGCGGUGUUGACGUCACGCUGACGGCCGGCCAAGGUGGGCGAAGCGUCGCGUCACGGCCGCGGGCCCCGUCCAGGAGGUCGUCGCACGCACGCGUGCCCGCGGAAAUUAAAGCAGCAGCGCACUCACUCACGCGCACGCGUGCUACACGUACGCACGGCAGGGGCCAUCGCACACCUGCCGCUGACUCCUCUGCGUGCGCCAAUACAUAAGGCCUUGUUUAGUUCACUCUGAAAACCAAAAAAUUUUCAAGAUUCUCCAUCACAUCGAAUCUUUCGACACAUGCAUGAAACAUUAAAUAUAGACGAAAAUAAAAAAUAAUUGCACAGUUUACCUGUAAAUCACGAGACGGAUCUUUUGAUCCUAGUUAGUCCAUAAUUAGACAAUAUUUACCACAAACAAACGAAAAUGCUACAAUAUCGAAAUCCGAAAACUUUUCGGAACUAAACAAGGCCUAAGAUGAACCCUGGCUGACACGUCCACACGAUCGAACAAAGCUGUGACAGAGCUCGUCGUAGAUUUUUAGGCUAUAUAGCUGCAAACGGUGAGUUGCUACCAGCUACUAUACUAGACAACACAAUUAUAAACAAACUAGUUAUAUCACAUGAAAAUCUCACUAGAGAACUUUUUUUUUUAAAAAAAUAUAUCCAAUUGCCGGCUUUGAUUAAUAUAAUAAGAAAGGGAGCAAAACCUCAUAUGUUACAAGCACGAGCAAAACUCCCAGCAUGGCCUAGGCUGUAGGGGGGGGGGGGGAGGGGGGGCUCCUGAUGAUCAUUGGAACUUGGCCCUUGUUUGUUAGAUGCUGCACUCGAUCUGUUUUAUUAUUAGUUUUCCUCAAUUUUUACUAGCAAUGUUCUUUAUGUAGUUACAUAGUUAAGUAAAGCAAAAGAUUGUUCUUCAUUAGCACAAAUCUUUACUGUAAAAAAAACGGAUGGUUCAAUGCAAUGAAAUUAGAAAUAAACGUGCCCCUUAUAUGCUUAAAGGCACUGUGCUAGCUCGACUGUUGUGUUUUCGACGACCACGUGUUUUAUCUAAGAGCUUAUUUGAACGCACUCAUAUUCAUUUAAUCCUUGUGUUUCAAAGUGGAUUGAGGUAGGUAUUGGUUGAUUUUUCAGGCCUUGUUUAGUUUCCAAAAAAAUUUGUAAAAAAGUUCAGAUUCCACGUCACAUCGAAUCUUAUGGCGCAUGCUUGAAGCAUUAAAUAUAGAUAAAAAAUAAUAGUUAAUUGCAUAGUUUAUGUAAUAUGCGAGAUGAAUUUUUUGAGCCUAGUUAGUCGAUUAAACAAUAUUUGUUAAAUACAAACGAAAGUGUUAUAGUGUCCAUUUUAUAAAAUUUUUUGAAACUAAACAAGACCUCACUCUAAUUCACUUUAAUACAUAUGGAUUAAGGUGAAUACGAGUGCAGCUACAUGAGGUCAUCUAGUUGAGUCGUUGUUGGUGUUAACAUCAUAUUACUCUAGCUAGCUAGGGCAUGCAGUGUUGAUUGUUAGUAGAAGCCAAGGCCUUGUUUACUUGGGAAUUUUUUUGCAAAAUUGCUACAGUAACUCUUUUGUUUGUAUGUGACAAAUAUUAUCAAACAUAGACUAACUAGGCUCAAAAGAUUUGUCUCGUAACUUUCGACCAAACUGUACAAUUAGUUUUUAUUUUCAUCUAUAUUUAAUACUCCAUGCAUGUGUCUAAAGAUUCGAUGUGACGGAAAAUCUUGAAAAAUUUUGCGUUUUGGGUUGGAAGUAAACAAGGCCCAAGCAUGUUUGGCAUCAAAACGUGCAGUCCUCAUCUGUAGGUCCAUCAGUGUUGACACGGUGCAGUGCAAUCAUAUCUAGUACUAGCUAGAGUGUUAGGCCAUGUUUAGUUCACCCCGAAAUCCAAAAAGUUGUCAAGAUUCUCUGUCACAUCGAAUCUUGCGGCACAUGCAUGAAGCAUUAAAUAUAGACGAAAACAAAAACUAAUCAUACAAUUUGACUGUAAAUCACGAGACGAAUCUUUUGACUCUAGUUAGUCUAUGAUUGGACAAUAUUUACCACAAACAAACGAAAGUGCUACAGUUGCGAAAACUUUUCAGUUUUCGGAACUAAACAAGGCCUUAGCAGGGCUGUGACUUGGCUGGUCAUUAUUGUCCCGUGGACUAUCAACAUUGGUCAGCACGCGUAUCCAACUUUUGGAUUCAUCACCUUUUGCUUCCGCUUCUUCUGUGUUUCAUUUCAUCAUGACACCUCUGCUCAGCUCGAUGGAUUGAAAUCGGAUGGAAGAAACGUUGACUUUGCUGAUUCCUUUUUGGACUCUACUAGUAGUGCUAUCAAUCCCGUGGGAGUAGUAGUGAAGUCAACGCUUGGUGAGAAGUCAACUUCUCGAAGUUUCUUGUAGUAAGAGCAUGGCACGUGGAGGGUAAGGAAAUCAGUCGUUUGCAGUCGUCUUCAGAUAUUUUUCUUGUUCGUCAAAUGUGACGGCAAAAGGAAGGAAUCCCAAUUGCAAUCUUCUCUAGAUCCAUUUUUUCUUUUGUUCCUUGCAUGUGGAGGCACGGAUGGGGAGAGGUCUCUAGUUAAAACUAGUGGCAGGUGCGCGCCUUCGCGCGCAUAUAUGGCCGUGUCGACGAAAGCUAGUCGGCAGUCUACCUUGGGGUAUACCCACGGUAGUAGUUUAUCGGUAGACGGUGCGCAAACUACGAACUCGAUGGUGACGCAAGACACGGACAAGCUUUUUAUCCAGGUUCGGCCGCCGAGUUGGCGUAAUACCUACGUCCUGCGUCUGGUUGUAUUGAUUUGUGUUGAGAGAAUAUCUUGUCCUAGGGGGGUCCCUUGCCCCUCCUUAUAUAGUCUGGAGGGCAGGGUUACAGAUCUAGAAACUAAUCCUAGUCGGUUACAAUUGCCAUGGAUAAUUCGAUAUCAAUUCCUAUUCUAACCGACUAGAGUCCUGCUUGAUCUCCACAUCUUGUUUCCUUGCGCAGAACUCCAAGCUGUCGAAUCAAGCCUUGAACUCGUCUCGUAAUGGGCCAAACCUCCUGGCCCAAGUCUAGCCGCAAGGGUAUAGGGGUUUAUACCCCCACAGCUAGUCCCCGAGCGCCAUGUAUUGUGAUGCAACACGCCAUCUUGAGCUUCUUCGAUCAGCGAGGCUUGUCGUCUUCAAUAAGCGGGAAAAUCGCCCAAACAGUUGCAACGGUUCCUUGACCAACUCGAAAGACAGUUGAUCAACAUUGACAUCGAAGAAGCAGGUUGUUCGAAGAAUGCAUGGUGCUCUAAAAAAAUUUCUUUCCUGGUGAAGUGUGCCCACUUUACCUUUUUGAAAGGUAGAAGCAUCAAAAAAGCAAGCAAAUUCACCGCUAGGUGAAGUGUGCCCACUUAGUCCCCGAGCCUGGUAGUAGGUGGCGUAGACACGUGGUGCCAGGGUCAAAAGAAAAUUCCCCAAAGUAGUUUUGAGUCUGAGAUGCAUCGCUAGAUGCAUCGUACCGAUGUAGUCCCCCGAGCUUGCUAGAAGGCGAAGUAUGAACCUUGUAGCAAGGUCUAAAAAAUUGAAUUUACCAGUCCCCGAGCAUAUCAUGCUCGUCUGCAAUUGAAAAGACCAAUCGACCAGUCCCCAAGCACUUAGUGUGCUUCUUGGAAUUAUACUGUACGACCAGUCCCCGAGCGUCGAGUUCUCAGUGGUCGGUGCAUGCUUUAAAACUUUGAGCUGAUAGACUGAGCGACCAGUCCCCGAGCGUCGAGUGCUCGGUGGUCGGUGCAGUCCUUGAAGGUCUGAGCUGAUAGACUGGGCGACCAGUCCACGAGCGUCGAGUGCUCGGUGGUCGGUGCAGUUCUUGAAGUUCCGAGCUGAUAGACCGGGCGACCAGUCACCGAGCGUCGAGUGCUCGGUGGUCGGUGCAGUUCUAAAAGUUCCGAGCUGAUAGACUGGGCGACCAGUCCCCGAGCGUCGAGUGCUCGGUGGUCGAUGCAGUCCUUGAAGUUCCGAGCUGAUAGACUGGGCGACCAGUCCCCGAGCGUCGAGUCCUCGGUGGUCGGUGCAGUCCCCGGAGUUCCGAGCUGAUAGACUGGGCGACCAGUCCCCGAGCGUCGAGUCCUCGGUGGUCGGUGCAGUCCCCGGAUUGCUGACUCACUGGCAUAUGUGUCUUCUUACUUUUGAAAAGAUCUUUCCAAUUAAAGUUGACGUGACGGGGUCUCCUGACGAUAUGUCAGACGGAUGCAUGAAAAGUUGCACCUGGCAACUGUACAACCGCUCUUUGCAUGGUUUGAGAAAAGGAAACCAUUAAUUGGUACGAAAACUCCGCCACAUUAAUUGUCUAUAAUCAUUGUAAACCGAAACGCCGCGUCCGCCGCAUGGCCUGCCCACUUCCCGAGAAUACAGGAAGUGGGAGAGGUGGGGUCGCAGGUUUGUAAGGGCCUAAUAGGUCUGCCUGUACUGCUUCGCCUGCCAUUGCCUUCAAACCUUCCGCUCUCAUCUUCUCCAAUCUCCUGCAUCUUCCUAACUCCAGCCCACAUUCGCACCUCUAAUGGCGAAGAGCGACUCCAGGAAGAGGGCCGAACUGAUGGCCAAGGAGUGGAAGAAGUCCCGCAGCACCACAAAAUCUCUUGGUGACCUCGUCGAUAUGGGGCUUCUGCACGGCGCAGAGCUCGGCGGCUGGAGGGCACCGGAGGGGGAGAGCUACCCCGACCCUCGCGCCGGUGAGAUCGUCGUUUUUGAAGAUUUCGUUAAGAGAGGCUUUGGUGUUCCUGUUCAUCCUUUUCUCCAAGGUCUUCUUUUGUACUAUGAGAUCGGGAUUUGCAAUCUGCACCCGAACUCAAUUCUCCUUAUUUCCACCUUCAUCCACCUGUGCGAGGCCUAUGUUGGCAUAGAGCCGCACUUUGAUCUUUUCCGGUAUCUUUUCUGCUUGAGGAAGAAGGGAGCAGUUGGAGGCUCCAAGGUUGCAGGUGGAGUAUACCUCAACCUUCGUGAUGGGAUGAAGAAUCGCUACCUGCACUGCCCAUGGAACACUUCCUUGACCGAAUGGUACAGGAAGUGGUUCUACAUCAGGGAGGAACCGGGCAGCUCCACGUUCUGUGACGUGGGAUACAUUCCCGAGAAGAGGACGAGCUGGACCGACCGACCGGAGUUCGACGGUCCAGUGGCGGAUCUCAUGAAGCUGAUCGACUGGUCGCGCCUGGACGGGCUUGGCAUGGUCGGCAACUUCAUUUGCCGCCGGGUGAUGCCCUGCCAGAAGAGGGUACACUCGGCGUACGAGUAUGCCGGAAGCGCAGCGCAGACCCGACCAGGAUGCGGUCGGAGAUCUUGGACUAAGCGGAGGUACAACAGCUGUUGAACGAGCUGUUUAACUUCGCGGAUGGGGGCUUCAUCCGUGGCAGUGAUCGGGUGCAAGCCUUCAAGUUAGGACGACCAGCACCAAAGGUAUGUAGCAGAUUCGAGUUUGAUUAUUCGUAUAUCGUCUGCAGUUGACUCAUUUCUGUUGCUUUUGCAGGUCGGUGAUGUCGACCGGUGCGCAGUGUAUGUAUCACUGGCACCGGGGAUGGAAAAUCCGGUGGGAGAGGUCCCGCCAGAGGAGGACGCUGCUCGGUGUACUCAUUACACCAGUAGUGAGGAAGACCGAGCCCGCCCCGUCCCGACCUCCGAGGAGAGGGUAGCAGGGAAAAGGCCAUUGCCGGCAGAUCCCUUGUCGACACCGGAGCUGCCGGCAGAUCUCCCGGCGGAGAGCAGCCAAGCACCGAAGCGUCGUCGGCUCGUGCGGAUCGUCGAUGACGACGACGACGAGGAGGCAGCGCCGUCGUUGGUCCGACGGCCUCGGAGCCGCCCAGACACUGCGCCGGUCGCCACUGAUCGAGUGGCCAGCGGCGCCGCUGCCCCGCAAGUUGCCGAGACGGGGGCACAGGUGCCGACCGGCCGGGCGAGGAGGAGGUUCACCGCGACCCACCGUCGGUCAGACCUGUAAGUGUUCGACUUACGUAUUUUGGACUCAUCUUUUUUUUUGUUUUUUUUUUAACUUUUGUUCCUGUAGUGCGGCAUCGGAUGUCGACCCUGGCCAAACUGCCAGCCAGGGAACAGGCGAGCCUGCCCGCGGUUCUGGGGAUGCGGCCCCCCAGACCACAGAGCAGCCCACAGCUGCGGUCGCGCCUGGGAGCACCGAGGGACUCCCAAGCGCGGCGCCGACUACAACAAGCAGCCCGACCAGGGCUGGAGAAGCUCCCCCAACUGACUCCUCGGAGAAGGGAAGAUCUCCGACCGCUCCUCCUGCCGGGGGGAGUGAAGUCCCCCCGCCGCCCCGAGCAGGAGCCUCUUCGGCUGCGGGCUCCCCCGGUCUGGUCCAAGGGCCAGUAAUGCCUGGGACCACCACCGGGGGUGACACAGCACAGGAGGAGGAGACCCGGGCGGCCUCCGAUGACGAGGUGGAAGAGAUCGAGGGUCGUCCCCGUGAUGGCCGCCAACACGUGUAUGUGUGGCGCCAACGCGGGGACCACUUUAUCGGUCAUGAGGAGCUCGCCGAGACCGAAGAGGCCGCCAGGGUGGAGCGCGCGGCCAAGCGCCUUGUCGACGAAGUCAAGGUAAGCGGCUCUUUGUAGUGCUGCGCAUUCUUUUGCCUUGUCUUGCAUGGUCGUUAUAUGCUUGCUUUGUAGGACGUAAUGAAAACGGCGAAGUACCGGAAACGGUGCUUUGACCAGAUAGAAGGCGUCAUGGCCGAGAACAAGGCCCUUGCCGCGGAGGUAGACCGGUUGCGCGCGGAGGUCGGGGAGAAGGUGGUCGAGAUGAGUGCCGAAAAGGAGCGUCGUCUCGACCUCGCUCGUCGUCUGGCCGACCAGUACCGGCUGCAGGAAGGUUAGUCACACGCUCCGAGCAGCUUCGCGUACUUGUAUAGUUUGGUUUGCUGACCAGUUUAGGAUUCACGCAGACUUGGAGGAGGAGGUGGCGAGCCUCCAACAAGAGAAGGAGCAGCUCAGCCAACAGCUCGCCGGUGCGCUGGAGUCCGGGCGGCGAGCAGAAGAGGAAUUGGGUCGAAAAGGCCGGGAGCUAUCUGGUAAUGAGUGCCACCUUGUUGGUUGCUGCCUGCCCCUUUAUUUGUCUGGUAUGCCGAAAGUAACGUUUCGCUUUGUUUGCAGUGCUCAAGGUGAACACCAAAAAGCACCUGGAUGAGCUGAUCAAGGACCGGGACUCCUGGAAGGUCAACUGUUGCAGGAUCUGGAAAGGAGUGUCCCCGGUCCUAGACCUGAUCAGUCCUGAGCUCCCGGAGAGCCAGCCCCGCGCGCCGCAGUUGACCCCGGUCGAGAAGGCGCAACGGGCGUGGGACUGGCUCCAGCAGUUUGUGAAGGACGCCGGGGAGUUUGCCGGCGCGCACGUCCUCAGUAUGGUGCGCGCCCACUACCCCCUGGUCGACUUGAGCAGGCUGGAGAAGGGGUAUCCGAAGGAAGUCGGCCCACAGGAAGCGGACGAACUUCGGGGUAAUCUGCUGGACUUGUCGUCGACAGUGAUCGGCGACAUCAAUCUGUGCGGAACGGCCACUCCUCCAGACCAGCCGAGCUCAGAUAGGUCGGCCAGGGAGUUGUCGGGCGCGUCCGUUGCGGGAGAUGGGCGGUCGACGCCUGCGGUCUCGACCAGCCAGGCGCCGGUGGCCCCGACCCCUUCGUCCGGGCAGCAGGGCCAGGCGGGUGAUCAGCCCGAGCAGCCAGGCCAAUAAAGUAGUCUGUAGGAAUAGACUAGUGUUUGCCCGUCAGGGUAUUUAUUGUAAACUUUGUAUGUAUAAAGUUUGUAAUAAAGUUUGCUUUUUGUCAUGACUGUUGUUUUGAGCGCUGUAAGAAUAUCUGAGUGACGUGUCACCGUAUUUGUCUUGGUUGUCGCUAAGAGCGUCCGUUGCAGGAGUGUUGCCGAGUGCUGCGUGUGACAAGGUAUGGGCCAAAAAUAGAGAAUUUAAUUAUCAAAAAUUAUGAGAUACUUACAGAAGAAAAUCAUUAAAACUUUAUGGAUAGAAACGUCGCAGUUUAUCGAUGUGCCAAGAGUUAGGCACUCGUGUUCCGUCUGGAUAUGCCAAUCUGUAGGACGUAGGUCGUGUGACCUCGGUCACCACGAAGGGUCCUUCCCAGGGAGUGGAUAGCUUGUGCAUUCCCUCCUGGCUUGUCUUCCAUCGAAGCACCAGAUCGCCGACCACGAAAGAACGGUCCUUGACAUUCCUGUUGUAGUAUCGCCUGACUGCUGCGAGAUAUUUUGCUGUUCGGAGACACGACACUAAACGCUUUUCCUCCAUGCAAUUGAUUUCGAGUCCUCUGGCGUUGUCGGCGGUCGCCUGGUCGAAGUGCUCGAUUCUAGGAGAUUCGAAGUGUAUGUCGGACGGCAAGACCGCCUCUGCACCGUACACCAUGUAGUAGGGAGACACCCCUGUGUUUCGACUGGUCUGAGUUCGGAGGCCCCAGACCACAGCCGGCAAUUCUUUCAUCCAUCGACCGGGUGCUCUGUCGUUUUCGGUGUACAGCCUUUUCUUUAGGGCGUCAACGAUCAUUCCGUUAGCACGUUCAACUUGACCGUUGGCACGUGGAUGUGCCACUGACACAUAUUUUAUGAUUAUGCCUCUGUCAUCGCAGAAAUCCCAAAAAGUGGUGCCAGUAAACUGAGUGCCCAGGUCGGUGAUUAUGCUGUUCGGAAUGCCGAAUCUGUGUAUGAUUUGAUUGAGGAACUCCACAGCCUUCUCGGAGGUUGCCUUGACCAGGGGCAUGUAUUCAAUCCACUUGGAGAACUUGUCGAUUAACACGAAGACAAACUUGAAAUUGCCCGGGGCUGGUUUAAAUGGUCCGAUCAUGUCGAGCCCCCAGCAAGCAAAGGGCCAAGACGACGGGAUGGUUUGAAUUUCAUGGGCAGGUACGUGGGUCCUCUUAGCGAAAAACUGACAUCCUUCGCAAUGCCGAACCAGUUUUUCUGCGUCGCUGACCGCGGUUGGCCAAUAAAAACCUGCUCGGAAAGCCUUUUCGACCAGCGUUCUAGAUGCGGCGUGGUUGCCGCAGGAUCCGGCGUGUAUGUCUUCCAAGAGCUUGAUACCAUCAUCUUGGGGUAUGCACUUGAGCAGUACUUCGGAGCUUGCGUUUUUCCGCAUGAGUUUUCCGUCGACCAGGAUGUAGUUCUUUGAUCGUCGGAUGAGACGCUCGUUCUCUGUUUUGUCCUGAAAGCCAGUCCCGUCUGAUAUGUAUUUGAUGAACGGGGUACGCCAGUCACGCCCACCGUUUGUCGGAGUGGCGUCAUCUAUGAGCAUUGCCUCGGUGGGUUGUUUGUCGACCAGGGGGGAGCCUACGCUCGGCUCAUGGAUGUCCUGGACGAAAAUACCCCGCGGGAUUUGGGCCCGAGAUGAGCCUAACUUUGACAACGCAUCUGCUGCUUGGUUCUUAUCCCGGACCACAUGGAUGUACUCUAUGCCAUAGAAGUUAGUUUCCCAUUUGCGAAUUUCUUUGCAGUAGAGAUCCAUCUUCUCGUGGGUUGCGUCCCACUCCUUGUUGAGCUGGUUGAUGACCAAAGCGGAGUCGCCGUAGACAUAGAGGCGCUUGACCCCCAGUUCAACGGCUAGUCGUACGCCAUGUAAGCAUGCUUCGUAUUCGGCGACAUUGUUUGACGCCGGAAAAAGGAUCCGAAGGACGUAGCGGAGUUUGUCCUUGUUUGGUGAUACGAACAAUAUCCCAGCGCCUGCACCGUUGAUGUUCAAGGACCCAUCAAAGAACAUUGACCAGUGGUCUGAGACAUCUGGAACGGAAGGCUCGUUGAGAUCCGUCCAUUCAGCAAUGAAGUCGACCAGGGCUUGAGACUUGACAGUGGUGCGACUCUGGAACUCUAGGGAAAAUGGACAUAAUUCCAUUGCCCAUUUCACGAUUCUGCCAUUGGCGUCUUUAUUGCGCAGGAUGUCCCCGAGAGGAAAGCUGGUUGUCACCAGGACUCGAUGGCCGUCGAAGUAGUGCUUCAGCUUUCUUGACGUUAUCAGGAUGGCGUAUAUAAGCUUCUGUAUUUGUGGGUACCUGGCCUUGGAUUCGUUUAAAACUUCACUUAUGAAGUAAACGGGUCUCUGGACCUUGAAGACGUGACCUGGUUCAUCUCGCUCGACCACUAUUGCCGUGGAGACAACCCUGUCGGUUGCAGCAAUGUAAAGGAGUAGGUCUUCAUUAGGCUGAGGCGCUGUGAGGACAGGCGGUGAAGUGAGGAAGGUCUUAAGCUGAGUGAACGCAGCGUCGGCUUCUUCUGUCCAAGAGAAUUUUUCUGACGCUUUCAGUAGUUUGAAGAAAGGGAGGCCUUUUUCUCCCAGCCUUGAGAUGAAACGACUGAGGGCGGCCAUGCAUCCGGUUAGCUUCUGAAUAUCCUUGACGUUCUUCGGUGGUCGCAUGUCGAGUACGGCUUUGACUUUUAAAGGGUUUGGUCGUAUGCCGUCGCAACUGACGACGUUGCCGAGCAGCAGACCGGAAGGAACGCCGAAAAUGCAUUUCUUGGGGUUGAGCUUCCACUUGUACCUAUUGAGUGCCUUGAAGGUUCGGUCUAAGUUGUCGAUUAGGGUGCUCACGUCCCUUGUUUUUACGACCACGUCGUCCACAUAGGCUUCGACGAGGUCAUCGCGAAUCUCGUCGUGGAGGCAUUGCUGGAUGGCCCUUUGAUAAGUGGCCCCGGCAUUUUUAAGUCCGAAAGACAUGGUAGUGUAGCAGUAUGCGCCGAAGGGUGUGAUGAAGGAUGUUUUGAUCUGAUCUUCUUCCUUUAACGAGAUCUGGUGAUAACCAGAGUAGCAAUCUAGAAAGGAGAGGAGUUCGCAUCCGGCCGUUGAGUCGACCACCUCGUCGAUGCGAGGAAGACCAAAAGGAUCUUUAGGACAGUGUUUGUUGAUAUCGGUGUAAUCAACGCACAUUCUCCAUUCAUUAUUCUUUUUGCGUACAAGGACCGGAUUGGCGAGCCAAUCGGGAUGAUACACUUCUUUUAUGAAUCCGGCUGCUAGAAGCCGUGUUAUUUCUGUCCUAAUAGCCUCCUUUUUGUCACGAGCGAACCGUCGCAGUUUUUGCUUGAUUGGUCUUGCGGUCUUCGAGACGUUUAAGGAGUGCUCGAUCAGGUUUCGUGGGACACCGGGCAUGUCUGCGGGUUUCCAUGCAAAAACGCUCACGUUGUCCCUUAGAAACCUGACGAGCGCGUCUUCCUAUUUUGGAUCCAGGUUAGCCCCGAUGAGGGCUGUCUUCUCGGGGUUGCCUUCGACCAGCUGCACUUCUUUGUACUCCUUGGAUUUCGAAUUCUUUCUGGCUGUCUCCUGCUCAGGUAAUCGGAGCUGGUCGGGGGGCAGCUGUGCGGCUUGGUUUGCUGUUUCCGCCAUGCGGAUUGAGAGGUCAAUUGCCUCGGUGAUCUUGAAGCUUUCUUCUUCGCAGGUGUACGCAGUGUAGACGUUGCCUCUGAUGGUUAGGACACCCUUCUCCGUGGGCAUCUUAAGCACUAGGUAUGAGUAGUGCGGGACUGCCAUGAACUUUGUCAGCGAUGGGCGGCCCAGUAUGGCGUGGUAGGUCCCGUCGAAGUCCGCGACUACGAAGUUGAUGAACUCCGUGCGGAAGUGAUCGGGUGUGCCGAAUUGGACAGGCAAUGUUAUCUGUCCGAGGGGCACCGAACUUUGACCUGGCAAAACACCCCAGAAUUGGGCGUCGUAAGGUUUUAGUUGCGCCGGUGAUAUCUUGAGGGCGGGCAGGCUGUUGCGGAAGAGGAUGUCGAUGGAGCUUCCCCCGUCCACGAGCACGCGCUCGAAUCUGAUGCUAUUGAUGCAGGGAUCAAGAAUCAGUGGGAAACGACCCGGCUCUGGGAUAGCGGCCCACUGGUCCUUCCUGCUGAACGAGAUCUCCCUGUGGGACCACGCGGGAAAUUUCGGAUCUGCGAUCAGCCCGUCCGUGCUGUCUAUGUUGAGGCAGGCUCUCUUUAACAGCUUUCUUUCUCGCUUGGACUCAGUGGAGACCUUGCCCCCGAAAAUGGAGUGCACCACGUCGGUGGGGCUGACGUAUUGGUGUCGGGGGUCCCUGUCUUGGUCCUCAUCCUCAUCUUCGUGGUCGUGCCCGUCGCGCUUGUUAUUUUUCUUGGCGGUGUCCUCUUGGGCGGCCCGCCGUGUAUAGAUACUUUUGAGGACGCGGCACUCCUCCAUGGUAUGGUUAGACUUUGGGUGUAGCUGGCACGGUCCCUUCAACGUUUUGUUGUAGUCGUCUUGGUAGUCCCGUCGUCCAUUGGGACGUUUGACCGUAUUUACUUCGUGGUCGUAUUCGCGAGGGCGCUUUCCUCUGAAGUCGUCGCGGCUGUCGCGCCGCCGAUCCCAACCCUCUCGGUGAUCGCGGUUGUCAGAGCGGCGGUGAUUUCUGUUGUCGUAGCGACCACGACCAUCAUCUCGCCGGGAGGGCUGGUCGUUGCCUCUCGCAUCGUCUCGGAUUAGUUUUUCUGCGUCAUCAGCAUCGGCGUAAUUUUUGGCCGUGGCGAGGAGCUCUGCUACCGUUGAUGGACGCUUACGCAACAGCUUGUUCCUCAGCGCUUCAUGGAAACGCAAGCCCUUGAUAAAGGCUGAUAUGGCCUCGUCAUGAGAAAUCUUCGGGAUUUUGAGGCGCAUAUCCGAGAAUCGUCGGAUGUAAUCGCGCAGAGGUUCAUUCUUCCUGUCUCUUAUCCUUUCAAGGUCAUACUUGUUUCCGGGCUGCUCGCAUGUGGCGAUGAAGUUGUCGAUGAAAGCCUGUCGUAGCUCUUCCCAAGAAUCAAAGGAGUCCUCGGGCAAGCCGAGAAGCCACUGAUGACCAGCCUGGUCGAGGACUACGGGGAAGUAGUUAGCCAUGACGUGCUCAUCUCCUGCCGCUGAUCGGACGGCGAUUUCGUAGAGAGUGAUCCAGUUCUCUGGAUUUUCCUUGCCGUCGUAUUUUUUAAGUUUUUCGAGUUUGAAAUUGCGGGGCCACACGACCUGGCGGAGGUGUGAGGAGAACUGCCUUAGGCCCGGAGGACCGUGAGUUGCAUCGUACUCGAUGCGGCGCAGGUUUUCGUGGACUGCCCUCUCCGCGGCGCGCCUGUUGAUGCGGUCCCGGGCAUCUUUGGGAGGGAUGUUGUGGCGGAGAUCCCUGUGUUGAUUUUCUUCUUGGCCGCGUGCGCGGUUCUGCUGGCGGCGGCCAUCGGCGUCCCGACCACCAUCGUCGCGCCGUGAGUCCCCUCGAUGGUUGUCGGGGGAGCGGCUGCGGUGACGCCUGCCGGGUGAGGCCCGGCUACGAUUAGUCUGGUCGGAGGCGGCUUCCGUAUAAGAAACGUCCUGGACUCUCUUGAGCAGAGUGGCUGUCUGUCCCAUUGCGGCGAUCAGGUGUGCUCGGAUGCUGGUCCGGACUCCCUGGCAUUCGGGGGUGUCAGGAAGCCGAUCCAGGUUGGCCAUGGCGACAGCCACGUUGGCGCUUGGCGUUUUGUAGACCGGCUGGUCCCCGACCAUGUCAAAGGCAUCGUUGAGGUUACUUGGUGGCAUCUGUUGUUGCUCGUCCGCACGCCGUCGGGCGCGAUCGGCGUUACGCUGUUCGCGGAGUUGCCUCUGGUCGUCUGUUUCUCCGUCAACAGCCGGUUCGUCGGCGCUGACAUUGAACACAAUAUCCCCUCGCCGGGGGGGGAAUAUCGGGAAUCGGUUGAAACCCGGAGGGUGUGAAGGAAAAUCCAGGUCGUAGCCCUCGUCUUCGGUGUUUAUAACCUCGGUGGGGACGGAGCCGGUGCUUGAGUUGGUGCUGGAAACCUGGCCGUCCCGUAGCUCUCGGAUGGUCACCAUGUUGACAUGGUGACGAUUGUUCCUUGUCGGCGACCAGCCCGCUUUGCUGAAAACGGAUUGGACAUGCUGUGAGUAAACAGAGGCCGAGUUGUUCAGGCCGCGAGGAUAGUCUUCCUUUUUGAGCUCGACGGAUCGUCCUGAGGGGGUUGAGGUUAUCGUCAGGGACGUUCCCAGCCGUUCGUGUGUGGCGACACGAGUUGGCCGGCGGAAUUUCGAAAAAUCCGCUCGAGCAGCUUGGUCGGGCCGGCGCAGAACUCCAUCUAUUAGUUGGGAGACUUCGAGUAGCUUGGAGUCAGCGCGAUCGAGCGCUUGGAGGAGGUCCGAGCAGUCGAUCUCCUUUCCCUUGUAGAGCGGGAACGGUGGUCGGGAGCUUGGUGCCGUCGUGCGUGUGGUCGGAGACGGCGUGAUCUCAGAUUGGAUCUGGAUCUCUUUCGGAACCGUGGUCGCGAAGCCGCCGCUGCACGUCGUCCACGUGAUUUGGCCGACGGUGAACGUGAGGCCUUCGGGCACGGUCGCGGAAGCUGGGAUCGUGACCAUCUUGUUCGCCGGAAAAGUUGCACGCACACCCCCUACCUGGCGCGCCACUGUCGACGAAAGCUAGUCGGCAGUCUACCUUGGGGUAUACCCACGGUAGUAGUUUAUCGGUAGACGGUGCGCAAACUACGAACUCGAUGGUGACGCAAGACACGGACAAGCUUUUUAUCCAGGUUCGGCCGCCGAGUUGGCGUAAUACCUACGUCCUGCGUCUGGUUGUAUUGAUUUGUGUUGAGAGAAUAUCUUGUCCUAGGGGGGUCCCUUGCCCCUCCUUAUAUAGUCUGGAGGGCAGGGUUACAGAUCUAGAAACUAAUCCUAGUCGGUUACAAUUGCCAUGGAUAAUUCGAUAUCAAUUCCUAUUCUAACCGACUAGAGUCCUGCUUGAUCUCCACAUCUUGUUUCCUUGCGCAGAACUCCAAGCUGUCGAAUCAAGCCUUGAACUCGUCUCGUAAUGGGCCAAACCUCCUGGCCCAAGUCUAGCCGUAAGGGUAUAGGGGUUUAUACCCCCACAGGCCGCCAAUUUCAAUGUACUGAACUGUGUACUGGAGAUUUCAUAGUAAUUUGUUUAGAUUUAGCAGCACACAUAUUAUACAUAGGGUAAUUAUACAUAGUAUGGUCGAUGCCUAGGAUUAUAUGUUUUUUUGGUCUCUAGGUGUACAGUGAAAGACCUGAUACAAUAAAGUAGGACAUAGAGUAGGGAUACUGAAGGUCUAUAGUUUAGUGACUCCGAACAGGGUCGAAAGGCGGUGAUCAUGUAGAUUAUUAUGGUAGUGGUUAUUAUACAAGGUUGUUGAUGCUUUCAUUGCCAGUUCCUAUGUAGAGUAGUCGGCGAACUGUGUUGUUGCAGUUUUGUUUUCAGUCGUCGUCGCUGUCGUUUGAGGUGCUCAUCGAUGAAGCUUGCGAGGUGACUGCAUGGAUGUGUUGUAUACAUCAGAUGUCAAGAACGUUUUUUGCAAAGUAGAUUGUAUAAGAUAGUUGAGUAAUUGGUGCGGAAAUUGGUUUUCGUGUGAUUUAUGACGGCAAUAGAUGAAACUAUAUCAGGUACUUGAAAAUAAGUGUUGUAUUAUGAAAUUAUAAGCGGGAAGAGUGUGUUUUGAUGUACCUUGGAGCCGAGAGGUUUCUUCGUCUGUGUCACUGGUGCCAAUUAGUUCCAUCCGUUGUUCUGUAUCAAGGUCCGAGUAUCCUGUGAAUUUGAGACAGAAGAGAUAUUAGCAUCUGGUCACGAUGGUUUGGAGCGGUGUAUUUGUAACAAAGGUUAUUACCGCGGAGUUCAGAUCGACGUUCUCCUGGUGGUGUCUGUCUGCCUAGCAUUUCAUCUGUGAAUGUCUGGUAACAUAGGCGCCAAAUGCUGAUGAUGUCGUUCUGUCCAGUUAAGUUUCUGAUGCCUAAAUGAGCAGUUUGUGGGACCAUUGUCAGGCGUCCGCGGGCACUAAGGUCAUAUUCGGCUGUACCAGAUAAGAAUGUGAUCCCAUGGAUGAUGCAAAUUCUAUUGAAGAGCCUGUAUAUCAGCGAGUUGCAGCAUAGAUGUGGUGGUACGCCGCGGAUCUGGAUGGUCAGGUGUUCAUAUGGUUCUGUCAAGGGUGGGCUUUUAGCUAAGUGUACGUUGAGAGGACAGGAGGUUAGCACGGUUUGUAAAGGAACUGCUGUUGAUCCAUGUUCUGGGUUCCAAGGCAUGAGGGCGAUCAUGUAGUUCUGAACAAUUAUAAUGCCUUUGCGCAACAUGUUUAUCUUCGCAUCUGCUGUAUGUACGUGUAGGAAAUAACCUUGGCCAUAGCUGGAUAUGUCCUGUACCUGAAUAUUGACUUGGAAUUGUUGGUGGACCGCUUCGGCAAGGUCGUAAUGGUUGAAUGCGUCUGAGAGAGUAUCUGGGAUCUUUGCGAAGACAGCGUUGACAUAGGCGCUGGUGUUGAUAUCCUGAAGUCAGCUUUAUCGAUGAUUAUGAGGUUUUCGAAUCUGUGAUUCGCCAUCUGCUGGAAAUUGUAGAUGUGUGAGUGUUUUUGGUAAAUUAACAAUGAAAUGAUGUAUUUGUGUAUGUAGUACGGUCUUCGAGUCUAUGGUAAUGUAGGUAUAUUUAAUUUAGAGUAUGUGGCGCUGCAAAAAUUAUAUGAGGCCAUUAAAUUGAUGUACUGUGUUGCUAUUAUUUGUUUAUGAAGUGAUGAGAGUAAAAAUAAGGCUCUUAAACAGUGUGCAUGGUGGACGUCCAUUUUUUUUGUAGAAGAAAUAGCAAUAUACAAGCAGGAUGAACAUAAACUUGUUUUAUAUGACUAUGGUUCAUAAUAGGGUCUUGUACAUGUACUGAGGAUAAAAUAUGUGUACCUUCGUAACAAACAUUCAGAAAGAGUAUUGACUAAAUUUGUGGUAUUACCUAAUCAAAACAAAAAUGAGUGGAAAUUUUGGGCAUAACUUAAGGCGAGUUGUGGAGGGCUAGGAACAAUAAUGAUGAUCAGGUAGUUUACUUACAUUAGGCCGAAGUAAAUUUUCUCCGUAGCUGUUGGUGGUGUUGUGGAUCUAGCUUCUUCAGGUUAAUGGGGCGCAGGCCAUGGUCCAGAGGGUGUGGAUGGUGGAGCUGUUAUUGGAGGGAGACGGGAGGGGAGGGGAGAAGAGGGGAGGCACAAGUAGGUUAUGCAAUCUUGGGCGGAGGAAUCCGAAGCUGGGGAGACCAAAGGAGGAAGGCGAACAGUGUUGAGGCCAUGGAUAAGGUUCUCUGGAUUGCUGAGGCGAGAGGAAAGAUGUAGGAGGUAGGUAUUAGUAGUAAAGUGGAUAAGGGAGGGAGGUAGUUGAUAGUAAUAAAGUGGAAGGUGGGCAGCACGAUGGGGUUUUUUUGGCUCAUCUAUUUAUUAUUUGGCUGUUAGAAAAUUGUACAAAAUUCUGUAUAUUUGGCAGUGAAAUCUUUUGAACUUUAACUAACUUUAUUCCCAAAAGUAGCAACAUGUAUGACAUAAAUUGUGAAUCUUGUAGAGGUAUAAUUUCUGAUAAAUUUGUAAUGGUAUUGGUUUGUUUAAAAAAAUUUGUUAUUUUUUUUGUACAAAUUUUGUAAAACUUUUAAAUGUUUCUCUCUCGUUCAUUCGUUAUUUAGUUUGUAAAAAAAUGUAUAAAAUUUGCUUUGUCUGGCAUUGAAAUUUGUAUAGGCUUAAUUAGCUUUAUACCAAAAAGUGGCAAUAUUUGUGGCAUAAAAUAUGAACGCUACUAAAAGAUAUUUUAUGAGAAAUGUAAUGUUAUUAGUUUGAUAUAAUGAGUUGUAGGAUUUUUUUUACAAAUUUGGUACAAUAUAGUUUAGUUUUUCUUGUUUUGGCGUUUAUUUGGUUUUUUAAGGCUGUUAUCCGUAAUAUUUUUUUUUGCCACUGAAUUUGACCAAUGAAGUAGAUGGUAUGAGGACGAAUGUGUUGCAGUAUUGUUUAUGUGAGUUUAUACAUAGUUCUCCCAGUAUGUUAAACAAUUUUUUAGAUUAAUUUUUUACAACGGCGAAACAUAGCGGUACAUUUGGUAUAUAUUUUUAAAAACGAGCGGUGCCGCUGCUUUUGCAGUGGAAUAAACCUAUAAGAUGAAUCAAAACUGUUAUAUAAACAUAUUUAUUGAAGUCUGGAUAGAUUAUAUUACACAUGAUGUGAGUAAUAUUAGUUGGUUCUUACAAGCACAAGGAUCGUACUUAUAAGGCUGUGCUAUAUAUUACAAACUUUGUACAAACACUGCAUUGCGUAGGCUAACGGAACAGCUAGGGUGAAUCCUGUGGCACGAGGAUUUGCUAAAUGUGUUCCUAUGUCGAGGGCUAUUAAACAGAUAUGAAAUAUGAGUGCAUGAUGUCGGCAUAUGUCCUUAUUAGGCUGACGAAGUCUUCAUUCCUUAUGCUAGAGCUCCUGUAGUAGGGUAUUGACUGUUAAUCAUGGUUGUACGAAAAUUGUUGGUACAGCUGUUGUCAUGGGUGUUGACUACGUACAUAAGUCAGUAGUAGAUCCAAAAUUUGAAAGUUACCUGGUAUGUCAGCUCGAAGCCAUCGACUGGGGAUAGCAUUCGGUGAUUCCAUAUCCAAAUGUGUGCAAAGAAACCGAAUCUGUAUAUAGAAAAAAUUGUGUAUUAUGUUUUAAUAAUUUGUUAAAUAUAGGUGUUAUUAAUGUGUUUUUUUUGGGUUACCUUUGAGUCUGUGAAGUCAUCGGCUGAACUUAUAAUACUAUUGUAAUAAGCUGUCAUGACAUUAUCAAGCUUAGUUACAGCAUCAUGUAAGUGCAUGAUGUUGUUUAUUCCGUCGGAUGCCAAACUGUAUUCGUUGUGUAAAUGGCCGAAACUUUCAUAUAUUGGAACUAUGUCUUCUCUGACAUAUGACACACAACAUUGUAGUAGGCUCAUGUAUACGCUGAGGUUGUUGAUGUCAUUAACCAGUCUUUUUAGGAUUGGGUAGUUGAGGUCGACUAUUUGAUAUCCCAGAACAUUUGUGAUUUGCUUUAGGGUGUAACAGAUAGCAAGUGUUUCAAUGGAUGCUGGAGUUUUGUGAGGAAGUUCAUUAUACUUGUAUGUCAAGUUUUGUGUACGCACGAAUGCUUCAAACUGACCUGUCGAUGUUUCGAUGGUUGUAAUGGCACUCUGUGCUUUAUAUGCUGCUUUUGUAGUCGCAGUAUAUAUGACUUUUAGCCGGGUAACAUAUGAUGGUGGGACUGGUAUCUGCAUGGUUUAUGUUACUGUUAGUUGAAGCAGUUGAUAUACUUGAUUUAUAUGAGUAAUAUUGUAUGAGUAGUAUAUAUUUUGUUGUGUAAAAAAAUCAUACCUCAUGCAGCGGUGGAAUCUUAUUGAAACCAGUUAGGUUCAUAGGUUCUUCUGGUUGUGCCUUGACUAAGUUGAUGUGGCCAUCUAUAAUGCUGUAAUUUCUAUAGGCGUGGUUUGCAGCAUUACUUAGAUGCUCAGCAAAGUGACAGAUAUAUAUAUAUGUACCAUCCAGGCUAUUAUUUGCAGCAACUUGAAUAAUGGUGCGGAUGGCGGUAGCUUGGUUGAGGAACUGCUGUAGGAACUCUUGUAGCAUUUGUUGUAACUGAAUAGUUUUAUAUCUGCAUAUCUUCAAGAUUUUGAACUUUUGGUAGUAGAAGUCUCGGAGUUCUGAAAUUAGCAAGUAGCUGUAGUCUGGUGACUUCAGUUCGUAGGCUGUGUCUAUCAUGCUAGCAUAAUUAUCCUUGAGAGCCUGGUUUCCUAAAAUGGAUAUCAUAGUUAGAUCCAUAAUUUGUAGUGCCUGUUCAUAAGCAAAGAGGUAGUACAUUAUUUACCUGGGUGUGUUCUCAACGCUGAUGGUACAGGAAGUAUUGUGAGUGGAUCAAUAUUGAUUUUUAGAUCAUCUGCUUGAUUCGAUAUGCGCCAAAGAUAGAUAAAGGUGAGACAUUUUGUAAGCAAAACUUAAAAAACAUGGUGAUAGUAUAGUAUUUCAUUGCAACUGUACCUGUUAUCCAAGGUAGCUGAGUUAAUUCGUACUGUUUUGACCAUGGCACGAUUUUGAGGCGGAAGUUUCUUGUUUGUAGAGGCGAUGCGCUCACUGUUUGUCGCUGUAGGUGAGAAUUUUGCAAAUAGAUGAUAAAAUUUGGUGGCCUAUAUGUUAUAUCAGAGGUAGUCAUGUAAAAGCCCAACUGGUUUCUUAUUGUCUCUACAAUUUCUUUGGAGACCUGUCUUGGUUCUUCCCUGUAUGUAUUUGUUGGUCUUGCGAUGAUGGCAUACUGCCAGUAUGUUUCUGAAACAUGAGCUGUGAAAUUAUUUUUCCUCUAUUUUAACUAAAGAUUGUAAGAAAAAAAUGUAAUGGAAAGUGCAACUAAAAAGUAAUAACUAACAAGAGUGAUAAUAUGUACCUUCAUUGAUUCCUGGUAUUUCCAUCAUGGUUUUCACUGUGCGGGUAAUUGAUCUGCAGUGUUAUGUAAAAUAAUGUCAAUAUUAAGUAUGUGAUUAGUAUGAAGAUAUUAGUGUCAAAUUUUUAUAGGAAUAGGUUUUAUUUUGUUUACUAAGAUGUUAAUAUGACAUGUGUAUUUAGUUAAUAAACAGUUAGUUCUAAUUGAUAUGUGACUAAUAUUUGGUAGGAAAACUGGUGUGGCCGAUAGGUCGAUAUCUGAAAUUGAUGUGAUAGAUAUAUGGGGGCAGUGAUUACAAUUUGGUGUUGAUUAUAACUUAGGAAAAGCUAAUAGAAUAAUUGCAAUAAUCAGUGGAUGAAGACAGAUUGAGAAAAAGAGAGAGAAAAACCUAGGGUUCCAUGGAUGAGGGAGCUUGCCGAUACGCUGUCUGAGUUGAAGGCCGCUGCACUGGGGAGCAGUCGUAGGGUGAGAUAGCCGUGGUGCGGUCGUCGUCCGCCGCUGCCGAUUCUUGCGUACCUAUCGACGGCGCUAACACAAGGAUAUGGUGGGGUGGAAGAAAUAGGGUUGUCUAGGUUUUGAUGGAGCUCGGUGACGCGAUACUUAGUUGGGACGAAGCGUUGCUGGGAAGAAGUCGGGUGCCGAUUCGGUGCCCCUGUAGUUUGGAGUAGCAGCCCGUCGGCUCGUGGUGAUCGGAAGUACUGAGUGUAUAUGUACAGGAGCAGUAAACUGGGCUGAAACUGUGGUGCUUUGUGGGCUUGGUUUGCCUUUUUUUUUGCCUUUUUUGGUGGCUUCACUAUGUUGGGCCUAACGGUGCAGCCCGAUCGUUUUUUACGUUUGUGACCUGUGUUUUGGAUUUAUUUUCUUAUAGUUAAGGUCCAUUGCUGGCCUUAUCCUUUUUCCUCUUUCUGGGUGUUUGCCCUGGGUUAGGCUUAAUGCUAUAACCCGAUUGUUUUUUAUGUCUGUGAGGUGUGUCCCUAAUUUGUUUUGUUAUAGUCAAUAUCUAUUACUCAAGGGUCGAAGCCAACAGAAUUAUGAUAAUAAGGGCGUUGAGUUGCUGACAUGACCGAUAGCACGAACAUAUUCAGUAUCAUGUAGAAGACAUCAGUUUCAUGUACAAGACAUCAGUAAGAGUGGCGCAGGUAGUUUUUGUAGACGGGUAAAUAGUUAACAAAAUACUACCAUUAUACUCGCUUUUAUGUAGAAGGCAUUGGUAACAGGAGUGUAGGCAGUUUUUGUAGAUGAGUAGAUAGUUAACCAGGUCGACACUGGUGACAGGUAAUUAACUACAUAGUAGCAAUAUUUGUUGAGAUACCAGCAUUUUGAGCAACCAAUAUAGAAGGAACAUGGUAAAAACCACUCGCUUUUAUGUAGAAGACAUUGGUAGCAGGAGUGCAAGUAGUUUUUGUAGAUGAGUAAAUAGUUAACCAGAUAAACACUGGUGACAGGUAAAUAACUACAUAGUAGCAACAUUUGUUGAGAUACCAGCAUUCUGAGGAACCAAUAUACAAGGAACGUGGUAAAAACUAAAAUAAAACUGCUAGGUGGGAAUAGCUGAGCCUAGGUAGAGUCCUGUGUUGUAAAUAUAAAGCAACACGCUCUUAAAGACCAUAGGCAUCAUGUUGCACAAAAGGUUGUUGUCGACUGAUCGUGAAUACGUAUCACCUGAAAUGUAUAAGGGUCUUAGGCAAAGUUUUGGUAAAUAUAUAAAGUUUUCAUAUAAGUGCAAAAGUUGAGGACAUGGCGUGUAUAAAAAAAAUGUUGCUACAAAUAUUUAUCUUACUAAUAAUAAAUGUUAAAAGCAUAGUUGAAGAAUGCAAUGUUCACCUGUCCUGAUUUCUUCAUUUAGACCUGAUCAGAAGACGCCUGCUGCUUCAGGGGCUUAUUUCUGGACCUGCUAGUGCAUACAUUUGUCAGUUGUUAAAUUUGUGUGCUAUUAUUAGAUUGCUUUCUUGGCUUUUUAUGGUCUUUUGUUCCAGAUUCCUACCUUUUUGUUUUUGGUGCAGGUGGUGGAUCGGUUAGACCAACAAGGUUGUCUUCAGACACUGUUUCUUCAUCCAAGUUUUCAUCACCUCUAGUCUCCUGAGUCAAUGGAAGGGCGAUGUAAACAAUCAGAGAUAAUGUAUAGUUUUUAGAGGCAUAUGUUAAGAAGGGUAACAAUUUUGUCAGUUGUUUGGAAGUACAGUCUGUAUACAGUUAAAGCAAAACAUAAAUUUGAGUACGGGUUUUACAAACACAAAUUAGGAUCUGGUAACAGUGUUACCUUUUCAGGUUGCUUAUGUUCUCCAAAUAGCCUUUUCCGGGUAUUUGUUGGAGGCACCGUUGAUCUGGUAGAUAUUAAAAAGAGGAUGUAAGUGGUACAUGGAUACAAAGAUUAUUAGUUGUUCUAUAUAAUUAUAUCUUACUCAUUGGUAUGAUCUUUAGUAGGUGUUUUGUCUUGAUCAAUGACUGGGGCAGGCGUCUGUAAACAAAAGCGUGAAAAUGAGUGUGCUAGGUAUAUAGUCGUAUAGAAAUUGAUAAAUAGAGAGGGGAAAAUGUAUAUGUUUAACAUACUAAUUGGCUAUCCUGAGCAAUCUCAAAAACUUGUUGGUGAGCCUUUGGAGUGUUCGUUAUUUGUGGUGGAGUGCGUUCAUGUGUAGAGGUAGUGCACAUAACUGUAGUACACUGUGUGGUGGUUGCAGAUCCAGCAAGGUACAGUGGAGAAUGACGCUUAUCUGAUCUUUCCAAGAUAUGCUUCACCAGGUAUUGUCUUUUUGAUCUACUGCUGAAUGAGUCCUCCGUGAGGUUAAUGGACAAGGUGAAUUUCUUGGAAAUAAUGGACUGUAGUGGCUGCGGCAACCCAGACGCCAAUUUCAAAGGGUUUAAAAUUAGAUCACAAUCUUUGAGAACCAUUAACUUAGCCACCUCAUCGUAUGCAAAGAAACUUGCUUCUGCUGUUUCGUCCCUUGCAAAGAAGUUUAGUAAAUACCUGUGUAUUUGUAAGGCAAAAGUUUGUGAACCUCAUGGUUGUCAAAAUUCUGGAAUAUAACAAGAGGGUGUUUUGUAACACCUAUGUAGUUGUUUCUUACCUAGGCAAAGCAUUUGUGCCAUAACAUUUUGGACACCUAUAUCCACCAGCAGCCUGUGGAUCCAUUCUUUUCUUACACGGUUUGCAUGUCAUGUACCACCAACUAAUAUUGUCUGGAAUAUUUGUGAUUGUCACUAUGCAUUUGUAACCUUCAUCCUGAAACAUGUUAAACAAAGCUGUAAGAAACCCCAGGGUAUGAGACCAAAAGAAAGCUUAAUGAAUGGGUCAUGUAAAUCAUACCGGAAAUUCGUAUGGGUCUAUACUAUCUAAUUCAGCAAUCGUUUUCAGUGCUAGUGGAGUGUCCUCUGGCUGUGCACGAAGGUUGUCUUCAGAUGGAGGUGGUCGCUCUAUGUACAUCGUUUCACCCCUGAAUCUAUUUAGUUGUGACCAAAUAUAUAAUGUAAGGAUUAAUCUUUUUUAUGAUGCUACUAUUGUUAAGCAUACGAUUAGAAAUUGGAAUUGUUCCAUGUACUGCUUACCUAUUAUAAAAUGGUAAAGCCUCCUGAAUGUCUGGAUUUAGAUAGUAGUCACAGCCACUGCUUCCACUAAGGUACGGUUUAUUCUGUGCGUAAUGUGAGUGCCAUUUUCUUGGUAUGAAACCAACAAAGAGAGCUAUAACUGGUUUGGGAUCUUCUGCAGUGUUCAGAUGAUCGACAUUGAAGUUUAUGGCAUGGUCACCCCAAAGCGUUAUUUUGAGCUCAUCGUCGCUGCACAAAGAAAGUAUAUAACUACUGUGAAAUCACAUUUACAAUACAUAGGGAACAUAAUCUGGUGUAUAUCUGAAGAUUUGUUACUUGUCUUUUUUAUUUUUUCAUACCUCAUAUCCUUUAUGAACACUUCUCUAAGGAUGCUUGCUCUUUCUUUUCCUUUUGGGGUUAUAGUUGUUGCAGAAGUGUAUUUUGUAAUAUAACCCAGGACAUCUGAGAACAAGAUGGAAACCAUAGAAUAAGAAUCAGCUGCUAUACACUGAUAAAGAACCAUGAGGGCAACAUGCAGGAGCUCACCUGUCAAGAUAGGAACCGCUCCUUGUGCAGGCACAAUUUUGUCAAAAGGGGUUAGAGCGUAUACAUAUUUUGGAAAUGUUUUUGGUGGAUUCUCGGCUAAUUUGAUGGAUGUAAACUCUGUGAAUUCAAUCAUCAGAUGAGCACUGAAGGGUUUGUAACAUGCCUUUGCAGGAUUUACUCUGAAUUUACUAAUCACAUAAGUGUUGUCCACCUGUAUAAGAGAAUCCAAUGUUUGGAUAAUUUCUUGGGGAAUCUCAGCAUACAUAGUAUCUCCCUGUGCAGAGAGAAAAAUGGUAUUAUUUUAAAAAUUUAUAACAUGCACAAUACUCUGUUCCCUUGUUUUCUUUUUUUACUUGUUUAACUACUAACUUUAUAUCAUGUGCUGAUAAAUGGUUCUUGGAAACACAUGUGCAACAGUAUUACUGUGUUUAAAUGGACACAAUUGUUAACAAAACGCAAUAAUAUAUGACAAAAUCUUACCCUUGCAUCUGCUAGGACCAAGCCAACGUACAGCGGCGUUCUCUGACCCAUGUUUUCUCUAACUGUCCAUUUCCUCAGAACACGAACACAAACAAAGCCUUUUGGGCGACCCUUCUCCAACUUUCCUAGGUAGCUGGUCUGCAUUCUACAGAUUAUGUAGACAUCGAAGAAGUCAGGUUUGAACCUAUAGUAUAAAAACCUAUGAGCGUUUAAAUGAUAUACAGUAAAAUAUAAACAGUAUGGCUUCUUUGUAGAACAAAAUUAUUACAAAAGAAACACACAGUAUAGAACAAAACACAGUUUACAUUUCUGUGUCCAUCAAACAUGCGAAUGCUUCUUUAUAUAUGGAACUGUACAUAUAUGGAGGCUCAAACUAUUCAGAAGCAGGCCAUAGAGUCAUGCAAGAUCAAAUACCUAUACAUUGUAACUACUAACACCAUGGCUAAUCACAUCUACGAGAAUAAUAUCAAAAGCCCAAAUAGCCAUGACGGUACUAAGAAACAGAAGAUUGUAGUGGUAACUUGCUGACUCUAAUGUGUCGUUGGCAAAUAUGCUAGGACCUCUUUGUACACAACAUUUCUUGUUUUGUUGGUGCAGCCUCCUUGUUCAUCCUCUAUUAGAAUCUUUAGUCCAUCCUUUUUUGUCACGCGUGACACAGCAACAUAGAGCUGACCAUGCGAGAAAACAGGUUUUUUAAGAUAAACGCCCACAGCUGAUAGUGUUUGCCCCUGGCUUUUAUUGAUUGUCAUUGCAUAGCAGACCUUUAUUGGGUAUUGACGUCUUUCAAGUACAAAUGGCCAUUUGUUGGUCUUCAAAGUCAGAGUAAUUCUUGGGAUGAGGACCUUUUUUCCACAGAAUUUUCCAGUUAUUAUUUUAGCUUCUAUCACCAUAUCUCCUAAAGAAACUAUGACCAAUCUAGUACCAUUGCAAAGACCAUCAGAUUGGUUAAGAUUACGAAGAAGCAUGACUGGAGUACCCUUUUUAAGUAUGAGGCGAUGCUGUGGAAAAUUAUUUCCAUUAAGUGAAUUUAAAAAUUCCAGUGGAUACAAUAGGUCAUAUGCCUCAUGGGGCCCAAUAGAUUUGGCAAUACUAUCUGAGCUAAGAUAUUCUUUUUCCAUGUCUGGCAGUAAGGAAACCAUAUAAUCAUUGAUGGCAUCAGUUUGCUCAUUUGUUGGUGUUAAUAUAGCUCUCUGACUGAGGUACGCUGUAUUUUUGUAAUCUGUUAUGAAGUUUGGGUAAGUAGCAUUAACUAUACAAGAUAACUUGUCACCUUCUGUCCUCAAAAGUAUAUCUUCAGGUAUCUCGAUCCAUGAAGGUUCAGAUUCACCUUCCCUUGCAACUGAAUCGACCUUUCCUUCCCCAAUAUCGAGCACCCAUUUACUAAACUCAGCAACUUGUCUCUGGUAAUCUACAUUUGAUGAAGAACAAGAGAGCCGCAUAUUCUGAGUUAAACUGAGAAUCUGUACCUCUGACCAAAGUCGAGAUUUAACUAUAGCAGAAUCGAUAAUCUGAGAUCUGCUUCCUGCUUCUACAACAGGGAGAAUUUGUCUCAAGUCACCACCCAGUACCACAACCUUUCCACCAAAGGGGAUAUUAGCAGCUUGUGAACAAUGCAUGGAUUGUAUAUCACGAAGACUUCGAUCGAGAGCCUCAAAAGCUCUUUUAUCGGUCAUCAGAGCCUCAUCCCAAAUAAUCAAAGAUGUUUCUUCAAUCAAUUCAGAAAGCAUUGUUCCUCUUCUAAUGUCACACACUGAGGUGUCAUCUAGGUCACAUGGAAUCUUAAAUCUAGAGUGUGCCGUGCGGCCUCCUGGUAAAAGCAGCGACGCGACUCCCAAAGACGCAACAGUUAGGACAAUUCUCUGCUGUGCUCUUAGGUAAAUAACGAUACGAUUCCACAGAUAGGUCUUACCAGUUCCUCCAUACCCAGAAACAAAAAAAAAUCUUGGUUCAUUCUUCAUGACCCUGUCCACUAUGGUGGUAAAUGCAUGUGUUUGAUCAGUGUUGAGAGUAACAGUAGGGUUAUCCAUGUCCACUAAAGGAUCAGGAGCAUAUGAAAGUUCCUCAUCAAUCAACCGGUUGUAUGAUGCAGAGUAUGAAUCUCCUGUUUUCUCAGGUAGGUUAAAUUCCCUUAUGUUUCUCCCAUUCUGCACAAAUAUGGAAGCCAGUUCUUCUAGAAGAUAGUCUCUUGCAUUAGCUUCAGGCAUUUGAUAGUUAGGAUCACCAAUAAUAUCUCUAAAUUGGUAUUGGAUAUCAUCAGCCAACAGUUGCCAUACUUUCUCAAAGAAAGCAUUUUCAUCCCCAACCUGGCAGAAGACUAUCAUGGUAACAAAGAGCUUACGUAGUUGGGCUGAGGUAGCCCAACCCGCAGCUUCAUCAAAAGCAUCAUACCACUCUCGGUCAUCCCCAAGAAGACCACGGGAUCUACAUGCUUCUUUAAAAGUUGAAUGAUGUAUAUGGUUAUGAAAUCUAAGGUCUUGGUAGCUAACAGCACCUUUGACAAUGAGCAACAACAUUCUUAAAUAAUACCGUUCCCCUCCAGAAGGAUGAACAUAAUGUAAACGACCAAUUUUUCCUUGCUGACGGUGACGCCUUUCCCAAACUCGAUUUUUGUGUUCCCAUUUCCACCUUGAAGGAAACUGUGAGUAUGUAAGGACCCGAGCAUCAGGGUUCAACUGAUUGCAUGUGAACCAUUCUGUUAGCAUAGUUUUCCUUAAAAAUUCCUCGGAAACAACUCUAUCCAUUCUAGCUCUAGCACUAAAUGUAAUGAAAUUUUCAUUAGGUAGAUGUACAGGCAUUCUUUCAACAGCCGGAUGGUGUCUAUGAAUAUCAUAACCCAAUAUUCGCCAACAGGCAUCUUGCUCACAAAUGUAGUGACAAUCAAGAUAUUCCCUAACUUCAUUAAUUGUGUUUGUAUCUGUAUCAUAAGGGGCGGACUCUGCUCUUCUUACUCUUUCAAGAUAAACCUUACUACAAUCAGCACCCUUUGUCACAUACUUGAAUAAAUAUUUGAUGAAAGUGCUUUUGUUGCACCAUUCAACAUUAAUAUGAGCCUGGUAUUUCUUAAGAAGACUCAUAUUGUAUGGAACAACCCAUCUAUUGUCCAUAUGCAGACCUCCUUUUUCAAUAUAAAGACUACUCUCACGGCGUCUGUACAUGGCAAAUCCGUCAGAAUUUACUGAAGUCUCUUGAUGAUAUAGUUUUGGAAAAUGUUUGGAACAUCUCCCAGCCUUCAUGCAAGGGCAAACUGGAUUGUGUGACCCACAAGGCCCAUGAAUCAUGUGCUCAGCAACAAGAGCAUAACCAAGUGGGUCAUCUCUUGGAUCAGGUAUCUCAGCAGUAACAUAUGAGUCAAUCAUUGUAGGAGUUGGAUCUGAUGUGUCAGCUGUAGUCCAUAAAAUAAUAUGCGCAUGUGGGAGGCCUCGUUUCUGGAAUUCUACGGUGUGCAACACUUAAAUUCAAACAAUUGAAAUUGACAUAGAUAAGGUUAUCAACGAUAGGUAAGACCUUCAUGUUCUAAUAGCGAGGAGUAUGACAAAGAUAUAUAUAAGAAUACUACCUGCGUUGCAUGGUCCAAAAGCACGACCAUCCUUGAUAUCGUGCAAGAGUUCCUCUAGCUUCAUAUUGAAUACUCGAACAAUGAUGUCAGACCUAUCACUUGGUUUCUGACCAGCAUCAAAUAUGGCCUCAUUGAUCUCAAACCACUUAGGAUUACAUGUGAAAGUGACAAAGUAGUCGGGAGGACCAUAUUCUCGACAAAUGGCAAUCCCAUCAUGAUAGUUUUGUAUCAUGUACCGUCGACCUCCUGUAUGUGAUGCUGGUAAUACUGUCAUCUUUCCCAUCUCAGCACCUUCAGUGCAGCCUCUAUUAACAGCAUCACAGAUACCCUGAAUACUUUCCAUUCUAAUGUCUUUCUGAUGCUUCAUUAUAUACCAUAGUCUAUUCUCAUCGACACAUGCACGUGCAUCAACCUUUGCCUGGCUGGAUAGGGCACCGUAACAGAGAUAAGGAUUUGGCUGAUUCUUUCUAUAAUGAAACAUGUAGCAAAAAUAGUCUUGCAUCGUGACUUUUGUGUACGAAUUUUGUUGAGUUGGUCUAACACCCGCAUACAAAACUCCAGCCUGAAAGCCACGCUCACCAAAUGGAAACAACAAUGGAUACUGAAGAGCCAUAAAAGCAGGAUGGAGAGCUGAUAUUUGUUUCAGUUCGUUUGAACGUGUUUCAAUGAUGAUGUCACGUUCAAAAGACUCUGGAGAAAAACCACCAACAAUAAGCAUAGCUAACUGAUUAACUGUUGGUAGGCUAUACUGAGGAGGAUCCCCAUCUCUAGGCGCAACAAUUCGAACCACAAAGUCCUCAUCACCAUGAUCAACCAACCUUUCUCUAGCCAUUCUGAACUGCUGUGUUAGAGGAUUAUAAUCAUCAAGCAUACGUAUCAGUGACUGAACUAUGCAAGGAUCUAGGUCUGUACCCCUUUCAUCAUCACGUGAUAGGCAUUGCAUUCUAUUUUGUACCUCAUUAGAAGUGUCAUAGACAUAUAGCUGAAUAAAUUUAGGUGAAGUUCCAUCUUGAGGAAGUAAGGAGCCAAUCCGGUGAUGGACCUGACCACAGAUCUUGAAAAUAGGGGGCCCACGGCCAUCAUUCAUCAUUCGAUCAAUAUUGGCCCCCAUUGACGUGAAUGAAAAAAGACAAUUGUACUGUCUUAUGUUCUUCAUAAACUUAUUGGAAAUGACACCUCCAUCAAACCGUGCCAAUGAGGCCAAUGGUUCGGGUCGUGGCUGGAACUGUGGUAUAACAACCUUACCGCCUCUACAACAAUUGUUGUACACUACUCUAUGAGAACGCUGGGCUGAAUCGUGGCCAACUCUUUCAGCAUGCCAAAAGACCGCAUGACAGUGUGGGCAUUCAUAGUCUGGUGCUCCGUAGUAAGAUCUUUGUCGAUAUGAAACUGUGUUGAAGGAAUAGAGGACAAAACAAGGAAAGGCAGGUUGUCAUAUGACCAACGACAACCGAGGUAUGCAAAGAACAGGAAGAGCGCAAGAAUUGUAAGGACAUGAACAAGGCCAAAAAGACACAGAAAUUGAAGGAGUGUAUACCUUUGAGAGCAUAAACAAAGGCUUCGUCAAAUUGGCCACAUGUGAGAUGAUUGCUGCUGUGCCAGGGGCCUCCUAUUGUAUUAUGAAGAAAAUGGUCUUACAAAAUUGGCUGUUACAGUACAUAGAAGCAAUGCUAUGCACCAGAUGAUGAACAAAGGAUAAAAUGUGUACGACCUGAAAGGGCGUACAUGACCAACAAUCUUACCUGCCCAAACUAAACGGUGUUGAUCUAAAAGUCUUCUUCUUUUGUGUCUAGAGGUCGUAGGAUCAAAAUCUGAUCUAGCACUGGACGACCUUUGUGUUAGUACAUCAGUGUAAAUAGUGUAAGUACUACCUUUAAAUGUACAAGACAAGGGAACCAAAACGCAUUAACCAGCGUAAGCAGGCUACAUACUGAUCCGUUCACAAGACGGUUCUACAGAUACCGGCACAGCAGUAUGUAUGUGCACUGAGGCUGAAGCUGACAAUUAGUAAUAACACUGUUAAUAGAGACAUAAGAACCAUAGUAACGGAAAGAACGCAUAGUACAACAUUUGCGGGAGAUUACAUACAGCUCCCUGCAUGGUCUAAGGCUACAUAGUCUGCCGCAAAGGUGGUGGCGUUCACCGAUGCAGAGCCUGUUAGAUUAAAAUAUAGACAAUUAACAUACAUAAACAAAGGAAAACACAAUGGAAACCAACGCUGCUCUAUUACAAUGAGCCUAGAUGAUACGUACAAACGCGAGGAGUGUCCAUCGAGCCCUGAAUAUUCAGCAACAAACAGCACAACAGAAGUGAACAAACUAUCCAUACAUUGGACAGAAAUAAACCAACUAUCCAUACAUUCGAAAAUACAGACGAAACCCAAAAAAACUUUUUACAAAGAAAGAAGCAUCGACCACUGUACAGGCCAUCGCCACAAUUCCAAAUAGCAAACAAAAUAGACAAGGUCCUUGUAAAAGAAUAACAACUACAAAAAAAAUCCUUCGCUAUGUUUCUUGGUCAAAUAUUUGUACGUACUGUGAACAGGCGUAAGCCACAUAACUAUAUACAUUUGUUCGUAAAAUAGCACAUGGCAUCCAAGGUGCGGAUGAAAUAAAAGGACAAAUGUAAUGAACUCAGAAUGUGCAGAAUAUAGGACAUGACUGAGAAUUCAAUAGAGUACAUGCACAGAUAUACAGCAAAAACAUGGAAGACACAAACAUUUUAUUGCUGAAAACAGGUAGCAUACAAAUUGGAAGCAGCACUGGGCAUAGCACUGAGCCCAUGCACCAACUGCUGUGCAGAACCCAACAAGGCGGAGUCAUAUCGAACUCCCUGGUUUGAACUGUUUAUUACAAGCCUAGCCAAUUCAACACCUCUAUUAGCUACAGGAAGUAGAUACUGGGCUAGAGCUCUAUACAACAUCAACCCAUGCGCACUGUAGUCCAAGAUAACAAAGCCAAAUCUAUCUUGCAAAGCUACAAGCGCUUGCAGAGCAGCUGCCUCAUAAGCCACUGAGCGCUCCAGACCACAAUUUGCCCAGAAGAAAAGCCUGUGUGAGUUGAGUUCACAACCUAAACCAGGUAACUCCACCUCAAUCCCAUACAAGGAAGUACCGUCGUCAAGAAUUUGAUGUAUAGUAGAUAUGUAAGGAAGGCAGCAACAAUUUGCAACGCGCUGAAGAACAGCGACGUAGGAGAUAUGUACGUCAAACAUUCUGAACCGAAAAUGGACCUGCCUUUUUGCAAUAGAAAGCAGCAAGCGCCCCCUUGCACCACGCCUACUAAGAAAGGAACAUCAAGAAAAACAAAGGCUGGCACAAUUUUGACAAACAAAGAAGAAUGAACGGCCUAGAUCCUUGGAAGUAGUUUUUAGGGAGAAAAGAGAAGGAAAAAAUCUGAAAACUCUCCGAACCACCUCUAUCGGAUUUUAGAAUCUUAAAAAAACUAAUACGAUGCUAAUAUUUUUUGUUUGGGCCAUGGGAGAGGCCAAAAAGGGGAAAACCCCCCCAAAAAAAAGACGUAAGCAAAACCAAACAACAAUAUUAGUCACACAGCAUAUAGGGUUAACCCAGAGUAAAAUAGCAACAAAAAAAUCUAAAUCUAAAACAUAGGGGGAAAUAUAUACCUGAACUGAACAAGACAAUAGAGAACGACAAGAACUAUGGUUGAGUCCCAGUUGGAGCCAAUGUGUAAACAGGCGGACACCGCGAAUACAAAACCUGCAAUAAGAAAAAAAAAAUGUGAACCAAUGGAAAGCAUUAGAAUGCAUAAGCAGAAAGACACCAAAGGUAAACGUAGAGUAACUAAAACUAACCCCGCUAACAACGAAAAGAAACGGAAGAACAAUGGACGGAGCAGGCUCAAAUCCACCGACAAAGGACGAACGGAAUCGAAAGAAUGUAAAAACAAGAUAAGAGUCUUACAAGGCAGAGGAGGGAAAACAAAGGCACAACGACAGCCCCAAACAGAUUGGGUGGACGUCGCAGACAACCGGCGCCGACCCCCGGCGGGCACACGCAGCGAGGACGAAGCGGCCGCGCACAGCCGUACCAGGCGCGUGCAGCGAGGACGGAGCGAUGGCGGCAGAAAACCGGCGCGGACCUCCGGCGACCAGACGCAGCGACAACGAAGCGGCGGCGCACACCCCUGGCGACGCCUGCAGCGAACACGGAUCGCUGAAUUCGAGGUGACCCAACGGUGCGGACACCCGGCGGGGUCCCCCGCCGGGCGCGCGCAGGACGAACCGAGCGCUGGAACCGGGCGGCGGGCGUGGAAUACAAAGAGCAGGGAGGAGCGGCGGGCAACCCGGCGAGACGCACGAGAAUAAGCAGGAAGCGGCGACGCGGAAGAAUACGGACGGAGGAAACCAGGAAAAGUACCGUGGCAACAAGCUGCUUUGACGAAAAUGACCCCGGUAGGUGUCCCAACAAUUAAAGCGACGGGGAAGUGGGCUUCGACAAGAAACGACGGUUACGCAGAAGCUAAAGAAGCGGGACCAAAACCUGAAUCAGCAAAGGAAUCAACCAGAAGCCAAACAGUAAUGUAGAAUCGGAUAUAAGCAGAAGGAUACGGAGAAAGCUGGAGCCGUCGGUAGAAAAGAUCCAACGACCGGAGUUUUAAAGACAGACGUGGAUAGCGCUUCUAAUCUAGGAGCCAACGUAGUUUGUAGAGUUAAAUACAUGUCCACUUUCGCUAUUGCUGAUCAUCAAGGGAACUUAAGAUCGCUUUAAAAGGCGAGAUAAGUCAAUCAAGAAUUAAGUGUCCUCACUCCUCACCUUAAAAAAGUGAUUAUAUGACAUCCCAAGAGCUCUACACACACUGAUCUUUGUCUUCAAAAGUCAUAUUUUGCAUUUGAAGCCUACUACUAUAAAGGUUGUCAAAGAGUUGCAGUCUCAAAACCAAGAAAGGAAAAAGAUAAGGAAUCGUCAUGUGAAACGGGGUGAAGUACACGAACUAAAUAUUCUCGAGAUCACAGAUAUAAAUCGAAACUUGCCCCCCUUCAUCCUCUUGAGGGGACAACAUGGUCGGACUACUCACCCCUAUCGUUGGCCCUCUCAGAGCAGGUACAAUAAGCCAUGUCAGUUUGGCUAAUAGCCAAGACAACUCAGCAAAGUCUGAUGUAGAAGAGAGAGAAAAUAGGAGAGAGAGGGUGAUGGUCGACGCAUUUGUCGACCAGCUCGUCACAAGCUCCAAGGCUGCAUGCGAGGGUUGCAUGUGUGGUCCUGUCCUACUUGCCAAUGAGAGCAUAGAUGGAGGGAGGUAGUGGCGGGUCCCACACUAUUAAAAUAGUUUUGGAAUAUGUAAAGAGCCAUGGUUGUUGUAUAUAUUGUCUACAAAAACUAGUUUACACAUGAUAUGGCUUGGCUAUUAGACAAGCUUAUUGGCCUUGCUCUCAUACCUCUCUCCCCCCCACCUUGUCGUCACUAGAGCAGAUUGUCGGAUGUCCGCGCGACUGCCACGAAGAAGGUGGUAGGACCACAGGAGGGGGUCUACUUCAAGUUGAGGAUGGUGCGACCAGAUCUGUCUCGAGCAGCCAAGCAACUCCGAUGACGAUGACAUGACCCGCAUCGAUGGCUGUGGCAUCCACACCGGGCUCGAUCGCAUGGCAGCAUGCAUGGGUCAAAGAGGAGUAGACGGAUUUGGCGCAUGCGACCAAGCAGGCCAACCCCGAUGACAAUGUAGAGGGACAACAGCCAAGCUAUUUGUUGUGAGGAGCGGGUGACCUAUUGUCGGAGUGGGGAACCUACAUCACCCCACACAUUGCCAUCGCCAACCCCUUUGGCUACUCCUGCAUGCCUCACCGCCAUCAGAGCCGGUGGCUGGAGCAAGGAUGGCGCCGGUGGAUAUUAGGAAAAGUAAUAUAACAAACCACAAUUAAAUAUAUAUUAUGGGUAUUGCGUGAAAAAAUAAUGAUAGGUUCUGAGCGAACAAUCAUAUAUAUUAUAGAAUAUAUAGCAGGGAUAUUACAUGAAAACAUAAAUGUGAUAAGUACUACGUGAACAAUUAAAAAUAUAUCAUAGAAUAUAGCAAGGGUGCCAUUUAUAUACUAAGUAAACAACCGGGAAAAAAGAAAUCCUUAUAAUGGGCCGAAAUAUGUGUGUGAAUGGGCCUUCUUCAUCCGGUCAGACCAAAUAUAGAAGCAAAAUAAUUAAGGAAAAAGUCCACUUUAGGUCCCUCAACUUUCACGAAAGUCUGAUUUUCAUCCUUGAACUCUAAAACCGGAUAAAAUACAUCCUUCAACUUUUAAAUCCGUGCACAUUACAUCCCUGACCUGGUUUUAAAAGCGGUUUUGUCUUUCUCUUUUUAUUUAUUUUGGCUAAUUUUUUUGAAAAAUCAUAGUAAAUCAUAUAAAAAUCAUAAAAUAGAAAACUCAAUUUUGUUGGACUUCAGAUGAGUACAUCUACACAUUGAGUAUAUAAUAUAGUAUGUUUUAGUACAAAUUUUUUUUUAUGCAUCUUUAGAUUUAUGCUUUUCUAUAAUUAAUUAGACUAAUUAUAGCUAUAGUUUCUAUGGUCCAAUUGUGAUGAAAAUUAUAUAGUGGGCUAAUUAUUCUAUGAUUGAGUUGUAGUAAAAAUUUCAUACUCAUUAGAUCAUGUAUUACUUAGUUAUAGAUUUAUUCAAGUUUAUGCUUGUUAAAUCUUAAUAAACCUAUAACUAAGUUAUACAUGAUCUAAUGAGUAUGAAAUUUUUACCAUAGUUUAAACAUAUAAUAAUUAGCACAACAUUAAAAAAAUUCACCACAAUUGGGCCAUACAACAUAUAGCUAUGAAUUAUUCGAAUUAAUUAUAGAAAAACAUAGAUCUAAAGGUACAACAAAAAAGUUGUACUAAAGCAUACCAUAUAAUAUGUUCACUGUGUAGAUCUACUUAGCUGGAGUCCAACAAAAUCAUAUUUACUAUUUUAUGAAUUUUAUGUGAUUUACUAUAAUUUUACAAAUAUUCAACAGAAAUAAAUAAAAAUGAAAAAGACAAAACUGCCUUCAAAACCGCUCAUAACCAUGUCAGAGACGUAAUAUGCAUGGUUUUAAAAGUUAAGAGAUGUAUUUUAUCCGAUUUUGAAGUUCAGGGAUGAAAAGUAGACUUUUGCGAAAGUUGAGCGACAUAAAGUGGACUUCUUCCAAUAAUUAACUUGGACCAAAUACAGUUGCCUGGGCCACACCAACAAGAAAAGCACGCCUGACUGGAAGAUUGCCGCAGACUUUUUUUUUUGCCUCGUUCAUCCUUUUUCAUAUGGACAGAUAUUACAUCUUUCUAAAAAAAAUAUAUAUCUAUAUCUAUACCUACUAAUAAAUUGUGAAAAUUUCAAUCUGCCCUAAACUUUUCUUCUGCUCCCGUCUCGGCCAGAAUCCGUCUCUCCGUCCGUUUAAGGCUUGUAGGAGAGAAAAAAAAAUAGAAUAUUUUCUAGGUUCCCAAUGCAAAUCCAUUCCGCUAGCCUCUGCCGUCCGCUCUUAAAAGAGCACAAAGAAAAUAAAUUUCUUUCAUCCUAUAUCCUAUUAAUUUUCUUUUCUUUUAUUCUUUAAUUUGGCUAAAAAUUAAUAAAUGCAUAGUAAUUCAUAGAAAAUCUAAAAAUUACAAAACAAAUUUUGUUCAGCUCGACAUAUAUAGAUUCAUGCAGUAAACAAAAAAUACGUGCAAAGUGUUUGUCCUAUUAAUUUACCUUUUCUUUUAUUCUUUAUAUCAGCUGAAAAUUAAUAAAUGCGUAGAAAUUCAUAAAAAAAUCUAAAAAUUACAAAACAAAAUUUGUUCAGCUCCACAUAUGUAGAUCUAUGUAAUAAACAAAAAAAUUAGAAAUUUUAGUAUAUUUUUUUGCUAGAGAUGCAUGCCUAUGCUUUUUAGUGUAAAAUUUAAAUUGUACUCCCUCCAUCCCAAAUUGUAAGUCAUUCCAAGAAUCUUGGAGAGUCAAACUUUUCAAAGUUUUACCAAAUUUAUAUGAUAAAAUAAUUAUUAUUAUGAUACCAACUAAAUAUCAUUAGAUUCUUCCUUAAUUAUAUUUUUAUAGUAUACUCAUUUUACGUUAUAAAUUUUAGUAUUUCACUCUAUAAUUUUGGUCAAACGUGAAAAUACUUUGACUCUCCAAGAUUUUUGGAAUGACUUACAAUUUGGGAUGGAGGGAGUAGUUAUCUUGCUCCAAUUUGGGAUGGAGGGAGUAGUUAUCCUGCAUAUCUCACUGAUUUACUAAUUUAUCUAAAAUUAUGUUUGCUAAAUAGUUUAGCAUCAAUUUAAGUGUGUAAAAAUAUAAAAUAGAAACUUCUACUAUCUUGGCACGAUUUGUUGUUAUAUCAUAUGAACACUUCAUAAUUAAGCCUAUGUAUUUAUAAUCUACAUACAUUUAACUGAUAUAUCAUAUUUUAUAGGAAUCCUAAUCUAAAUAAAAAAAUAAAGCUAGCAACAAACUUCUCAUGUUUUAAUAUAAUACUAUUUUUAUUAUUAAAUAAAUAUGUCUCCAAGCUACAUAAUACUGUAAAUAUUAACUAUCUCAUACCAUAGAUGUCAUGGUUAUCAAUAAAAUAAAUUAUGGACUUUAAAUUUCAUAAAAAAGAUAAAUAUAAAUAGAUAUGUAAUAUUAUGUCCUUAUUUUUAUGACCAUUUGAUGUUUUUUUCUCGUUGCAACGCACGGGCAUAUUUGCUAGUAUAUGCACAAAUUGCAACCAGUUUGUCCUUUGACAAAUUCAAUCAAUAAUUAAAGUCAACUACCGCUACUGUGGUAUUAUGAGCUAGUGUCGUCGUCCUAAAGGGAUCCUGAACCUUAUAUGCACUGUCACUCUUGUGGUUAACACACAUGAAGCGUGUCUGAACUCUGAAUGUGGGUUCAGCUUCUUUUCGUAUGGUAGACAGUGAAGGUGCCGAGACUGCCUAAUGUGGGUUCUGCCCAUGCUCAACUGAAUGCUGCACUGCACAAUGGUGAAUGUACACAAGGGAAAGGGUGUCGUAUAUAUGUAUGCUCGUCGUUGGCAAAGUAUCUUAUUAUCUGCUGCUCGAGUUCAGCCUAUUCGCUUGAGCUUAUCAUCUGAAUCUGUCAGCUAUUCAGCAGUGUUUUUCUUUUACAAUAAAUUAUUCAAUAGUACUUACUGUCAAUUAUCAGCCAAGCAGUGUUAAGUAAGGCUUGAACAUUUUGCUCAUGCAUGACAAAUAAAGGAAUGCCUGACAGUUGGAUUAGUUGUUACAGUGUUAAGUAAGGCCCUGCUGCACACCGUCCCAGCUCCAGUUGACGCCUUCUCAAGGUGUGUAAAGCGGGAUGACAUUGAUCGUCUAGAAGAGGUAUGUAAAGCGGGAUGACAUUGAAAGAGAAAGAAAUAGGCAAGAGAAAUAUGAUGGAUGUCGGGUAAUUAAGAGACGGUCUGACAGAAUGAGAAAAUUCUCUUAUAGACAGCAUCUUUUAUUACAGAGAUAUCGUCUACUCCUUCCGUUCCAAUUACUAAGAUAUCGUCUCUCCUUCCGUUCCAAUAUACAUCUAAAUAUAAUCAUGUAUAGCAAAAUAGAUGUACUAAAAAAAGUCAAAACGACUUAAAAUUUACAACAUAGAGAGUAUUAUGCAAUAUCUUGUCUACUCUUUUUGUAGAGACCGGAUAUUAGUUUAUCCAUUAUCUAAAAAAAAUAUCUUGUCUACUCUUUUGCCCAUCCCAAAAUAAAUGCACAUGUCACAUCUCGAGCAGUCAAUCAAUCUUAAAUUUGACCAAACAUAUACAAAAUAUACUAAUAAUAUUCAUGAAAUCAAAUAACUAUUAUUAGAUUAUUAAUCACAUCAUAUGUUCUUAUAGUAAAUCUAUUUAGGAUACUAAUGUUAUUUAGAGAUGCAUUGCCUUAUUUUGGGAUGUAGGAAGUAUUAUAUAUACUUGUCUACGAGACUACGACUAACAUAGACGUAUUUUAGAGACAGCAGCUGUUACACGCAUGCCCUCAACAGCUAAGCUGCUAAUCGAUCCUUUGCUUAGCCCUUGUUUAGUUCCACUCAAAAUCCAAAGACUUUUCAAGAUUUUCUGUCAUAUCGAAUCUUACGGCACAUACAUAGAGCAUUAAGGCCUUGUUUAGUUCGCAAAAAUUUUCAAGAUUCUUCGUCACAUCGAAUCUUUGGUCGUAUGCAUGGAGCAUUAAAUAAAGACAAAAAUAAAAAUUAAUUACACAGUUUACCUGAAAUUUGUGAGAUGAAUCUUUUGAGCCUAGUUACUCCGUGAUUGGAUAAUGUUUGUCAAAUAAAAACAAAAGUGCUACAGUAGCCAAAAAACCAAAAUUUUGCGAACUAAACAAGGCCUAAAUAUAUAUAAAUAAAAAAUAACUAAUUAUAUAACUUAUAAUUUGCGAGACAAAUUGUUUAAGCUUAGUUAUUUUAUAGUUAUAUAAUAGUUAUUAAAUACAAACGAAAGAGUUACGGUAUCUAAAUGAAAAAAAAUCUAAACAAGACCUUGUUGUCCGGCAAGUGGCCCGGCCAAUCCACUUGCCAUCAUAUUUCCAGGGCCAUUUCGUGUUUUGGUGCCCAUUUAAUAAUAAUAAUUAUAUAUAUUUGAUAUAUUGAUUGAUGAAAGAUUGAAAGGGAGGAAUUAUGAUUUUAGGGUGAUUAUUGCAUUGGGUCAUGGGUAUCACUGCAUUGAGGCUGAUGAUGUUGAAAGAUUGACAAGGACAUGCAAUUUCUCCCUCAGUCAUGACACAAGUGGGGGUUGUGUCUAUUUUGAGUGUGUUUGAUAGGCUUGCAAACCUGACUUUUUGCUUGAGUGGGCUAGGUUUGAGUUGUUUGAUUGCCUGGCCAGCCUCUAGAGCCAGCUCUAUCUAACCUGCCGUACAGUCAGGGCCAAGCCCGAGUAGAACGUUGUUGUUUCUUCUCGAGUGAUUCAUUCACGUCACCUUCCAGUCUUCACUCCCAUUCUCUUCCGCUGCAGUCCUCUCCGCCGACGGUGUUCCUCUGCUCAUCCUCCCCGCCAGUGGUGGUCCUCUGCUUGUCCCCGUCAAUCUCCGCUAUAGAUCAAGCCAUGUUGACCAAGGGAAAGCUCGGGGCUGUGGCUGCUAUGGAGGCUCUGGCAGUGCAUCUCUUCCUAUGCUGCAAAGUCGGCUGUGUGCGCCCCCGUUCGCGACGCCCACACCAGUGGCGGGGCAUAGCCACAGAGGCGGCACCGGCCACUGGCAGUGCAACGGGAGUUCUGGCACAUGGAGUCCGCACCACCUGCAGAUCCACACAUCACUCACCGUGCACCAGGCGAAGCUCUGGCACUCAUGUCGUCCGUGGUCGCCGAGCGGGACAAGCUUUGGCGUCACCACCACUCCCUCGUACGUGCUGCUCCUCCACCACCAGGCUGCUGCAAGUCCGAGCCUUGAUGCUACUAGCGUCUUGUGCGGGCAAGAGGAGGAUGCUCUGUUACUACUGCUGCCACAGUCAUCAUGAAGAACACAACCAAAGUUGAUUCAGUUUCGUCAGUUAGCUCGUUUCAGGCUCUUGAUUUAGUUAGCUCGACUGAAACAACCAUCUUCUGCCAUCUCUAUCUUCCGACCCAGUUAGCAAAAAUCUAAACCAAUUGCACUAUAUUGUAGAGCUACAUGAAUGCUGCAACAUUGCUUAAAGGUUCAAAGUCUAACUUAGAUCAGAGUGGUAGGUAGAGAGCUCUAAAGUUGGGUAUUCGCAAACUGAAAUUGACAUUCAGUAAAUUCAGUACAGACAAAAGGUAACCUUACCUAUUAUAAAAAUAUGUGACUUUAUCAAAACAAAACAUGCAACCAAACACACUCUAUAGCUAGCCAGACUACUAUAAUACAGACAACCAAACAACUAGAGAUUGGUUUGUUGGGAACAGGCUUAAGUUGCCCAGACUAAAUUUCUAGCCAGGCUAGAAGUUAGCCUCGGAACCAAACACACCCCUUAUUGUAGCAUCCUACGCAAGUUUAAAAUUCACAAUGAAAAAAAAUCAAGCAACUAAGAUAUACGAUAUGUAUCUACCGUAAUCUCCAUGGCGAAAUGGACAGGUGAUAAGGAAAAGUAAAGGUACGACUUGCUAAGAAACACAAAAUAUUAUGAGAAUAAAAACUCAAAGGGUCUAUUCAUUUGUCUAAAAAGUUAUGAUUAGUAUUUCUCAAUUUUUUUGUCCUAGAAUUAUUUCAUAGUAAUGUUAAAAAAUAGAUAGCCUUUUAGGAUGAAAUGCUUGACCAUGUCUGUCUGACAGAAGGGGGCAGGCACCCCACAAGUCAUCGACUGUCCAUCUAUCCACGUAGGAGUAGAUAACUUAGCGUCGAAGUCAACUGCGCCCUUUUAGGCCCUGAUUACACAGUUUAGUUGAGAAUCGCGAGACGAAUCUUUUAAGCCUAGUUACUCUAGAUUAGCCUUAAGUGCUACAGUAACCCACAUAUGCUAAUGACAGAUUAAUUAUGCUUAAUAAAUUUAUCUUUAAGUUUCCUGACGAGUUAUGUAAUUUGUUUUUUUAUUAGUUUCUAAAAAACCCUCCCGACAUCCUUCCGACACAUUCGAUGUGACACCCAAAAAAUUUUCAUUGCCAGUCUAAGGGCCUGUUUAGAUUGGGAACGAAAAUUUUUUCAGUGUCACAUCGGAUAUGUCGGAAGGAUGUCGGGAGAGGUUUUUAGAAACUAAUAAAAAAACAAAUUAAAUAGCUCGUGAGGAAACUGCAAGACAAAUUUAUUAAGCAUAAUUAAUCUGUCAUUAGCAUAUGUGGGUUACUGUAGCACUUAAGGCUAAUCAUGGAGUAACUAGGCUUAAAAGAUUCGUCUCGCGAUUCUUAACUAAACUGUGUAAUUAGUUUAUUUUUUUAUCUACAUUUAAUGUUCUAUGCAUGUGUCCAAAGAUUCGAUGGGAUGGAUGAAAAAAUUUUGGGUAGGGAACUAAACAGGGCCAACAGCCCCUUAUCUGCUUCCACAAAAAUCCCAUCGCCGGCCUGCCAAAUUCAAUUCACACGGCACGGCAUCUUUCCACCAAGAUUUUCCACAAAACACCCUAUAUACAUAAAGAAUCACAGUUCUACCCUUAGCAUCAUUCUUGUUCCAGCAAAAGACCUUAUCUACGCUAUUACCAAUCAACUUCGAGGUCUCUUCUGCACUUUUUUCCCACACAUACAGGACCGAGAAGUCGAGAAGCUAGGGAGGGGGGACACGACGCCACCGAGAGGGAACGCGAGGUCGCCAUCACCAUGGGGGGAGGAGUCAUGCGCACCGCCGCGAAGGUCGGCAUCGCCGGAGGCGCGGCGGCGGCGGCAAAGAGCGGCCGGUUCCGCCACGCCGCACCGGCCUUCGCCACGGCCGCCGCCGCCGCGGGUUCUGAGGCGGCGCCGCUUGUCUCCGCCUCCGGUGGCGAGGCGGUGCCCCCCGCUACGGCGCAGUGGGCGGCGUCCUGGGAGCUGGACGACUGGGAGUUCGCGGACUGGAGGGACGACUCCGCCGCGGCGGCGGUGGUGGUGGCGGAGAGGGAGGCCACGGCAGCGGCCGCGAAGCCCAGGCUGGUCUUCGCGCCGCCGUCGAGGGAGGAGGCCGAGGAGGCCACGAGUGAGCUCAGGGACGCCAUAGAGAGGUGAAAGAUCGCGUCUUUCGCAAUUCCCCUCUGUGGAUUCGUCGAAUUGGAUGGGGAAGGAGAGAAUUUUGUAUUCGUUAUCUCGACUGCUCGAUCUAUUCAUCCUGACAUGUUAGGCUGAAAUAAUUCUUUUUGACGGGAUUUAGGAAGCAUCUGAAUAUCUGAUUAGGCUUUUAUAGGGUUAUAUUAGACGAUGGGAUUCGAUUCCCCAACUGGUGAUAAGAACCCUAGGCCUAACAACGCAAUAGAUUUAUUGGAAAGGAGAAUCCGAUGCUUGCUAUUCAGUUCACUCAAAUUGUCUAGUUGAUGCAGCCUCGUAAGCUAAGAAAGCUUCCUACCAAUUUAGUUGUCGUAUUACAUGUUUCAUCCAUGUGCAUCUUACAUACUCAAGUAUGAAAGUGUGAUGCUCUGAGGUACUUGUACCUUCUCGUACAUGUCUAUUGAUGCCCUCAACAACACUUUGAUGUCAUUACAGUCUGUUGCGUCUGCACCGGAAAUACUUUGCUUCACAUUUGGUUCAUGCAUAUUCACCCUAUCCUCACAAAAUAAUUUGAUACAGGGCCUAUUUCAAUGAGACACCAGUUGAGGUUGUUAAGGAACAGGAUAAAGAGUUUAAUAAGCAGGCAACCGAUGCCAUAAUUCCUUCCAUGCCUGGACAUGUGGUCCAAGCUUUUACAUUGCUGAAAUCAAGCCCGGAGGCUCAGGUUUGUGCAAUGGCCCUUGUAAACAUACUGCACUAUGCCUGAGGCACGUUCGAGAAAGAAAAAAUAAACAUACUGCACUACUAAUUUGGGGAAAUCAAUUAUUUGUCACCCUUAGAUGCCAUUCCAAGGGGGAAAUCGUUUGUCACAUACGUCACCUUCAUACAAUGCUACCUAGUUUGUUGAAUUUUAUUAGGAUCAUUAUGUAUUGUGUUGCCAGUGGUUUGGUGUGUUAUCUACCUGCUAUAAUUAUGAAUUUUUAGAAGAAACCCUUUGACAUAUGUUUGUUUAUUGCUCCUGUCUGAUCUUCAAUAGUGAGUUCUGUGGGCAGUCUUUGCUUUUUAGUUACACAGUUAAAUAUGUAGCUGUAUCACGUAGUUUAUCUUAGCUGAUGAUCAUAUAACCGUACAACAAUUGAUGAAAACUGUUUCUUUUGACUCUUGAUCUCUAGAGUGUUGUAGCCUCCCUUGCAUCAGAUAGAAAUGUCUGGGAAGCAGUAUUGAAGAAUGAGAAGGUUAUGGAAUUUUACAAGAAUCACCAGACAAGUAUGUACCUCAGUGAUUCUUUAGCCAAAGUUAUAUGUAUCACAUUCAUCAUUUCUACCAACCUGUAUGACCAUUGUUGUUGUCCUCUGCUAUGACACAGCUCUAGUUGAGACAUUCCCUGAAGAAGCAGCCACAGUAGAGUCGCCGGGGAAUUUUGAAGACGCCACCUCUGAAAAUGCAUCCAACACUGAACUCCCCACUGGCUCACCUUUCUCUGAUUUUGUGGACAAUGCGAAGAAGAGAGUGAUGGAUGUGAUCUAUAAUAUAACCGACUUUUUCAAGGACUUGUUCGACUCAGCGGGAGCACAGGACGGAGCAGGCCCUUCAGCUGAGAAGGGUCCUUCUGCAGCAGAGAUGGCUCUCGGCGGAUCGUUCAUGGCUCUGGCCAUAGGGGUCAUCCUAGUUGUCCUGCUCAAGAGGGCAUGAUAGCUCAUGAGUACCCUCUGGGACUCAUGGUACUUCAAAUCUGUCGAAAAUUACUUGUCUAUCGUAUGGUCAAGAACUCUGAAUGUAUUGUACAGCUUGUGUCCUUGUCCUUGGAAACAGUACAAUAAAAGACUAUCUAUGCUAUAGUAUUUUGUGUGUAUCUUGGUUUUCUGAACCUCUGAUGUGCAGACACCGUAAGAGCCAAAUGUUGUGCUUGAUUAUUACAUUUGCAAAUUACAGUAUAGUAACAUGACAAAGGUCGUCAUUUGUUUGACCUGAACUGAACAUCUUGUCAUGAGUAUAGGUCUUGUUUAGUUCCCAAAAAAUUUUGCAAAAUUUUUCAGAUUUUCCGUCACAUCGAAUCUUUAGACACAUGCAUAAAGUAUUAAAUAUAGACAAAAAUAAAAACUAAUUGUACAGUUUGGUCGAAAUUGACGAGACGAAUCUUUUGAGCCUAGUAGUCUAUGAUUGGAUAAUAUUUGUCAAAUACAAACGAAAAAGCUACGGUGUCGAUUUUGCAAAAUAUUUUAGAACUAAACAAAGGCCAUGCUGAAUGGGUAGAAAAAAAAUGAAAAUGCAAAAAUAGUCUGUCAGACAACCUCUGAGCCACCCUAACCAGGACAGGCCUAGCAGGAACGAUCCUCCACAGCCGUCAGAUGGCACCUUCCGGAGCAUCCUAGCCGUCAAUCACGCUCUGGCCCAGAGGUUCUGGAUCAUCAACCAGACUUAGUGCUUGCCUCCUUGUUGGUAAAGGAUGCAGUGGUACGAUCCUAUAGAACAGAUCCUGUUCAAG
This 88861-nucleotide long non-coding RNA is filed under the name Sorghum bicolor (sorghum). RNAcentral describes it as "long non-coding RNA (SBIC_LNC011691)". The record is from RNAcentral. Lineage: Eukaryota; Viridiplantae; Streptophyta; Magnoliopsida; Poales; Poaceae.